RNAcentral lists this long non-coding RNA (82367 nucleotides) under Ananas comosus (pineapple). RNAcentral's name for it is "long non-coding RNA (ACOM_LNC001146)". Lineage: Eukaryota; Viridiplantae; Streptophyta; Magnoliopsida; Poales; Bromeliaceae. The record is from RNAcentral.
AUGUUUUUCAGGUUCACACGUAAGCGGCGCAGCGGCGCGGCGGCGCGAGGAAAGGGCGUAGCUUCGUAGAUAGUGCCCUACCACCGAGACCAAAGAUAGAAGUACCCCCAGUCAGUUUAGCUUAGGGGUGUGAAAAGAAAAGAAAGAACAAAAUUGUAACAAAUUGUACUAAAAAGGAUUGUAUUUGAAAAUGGAAUGUAAAUUUAAUGUAAAUGUAAUGUUAAGUGAGCUGAAUACUUGUAAUAGCUUAGUAGUUAUGUUCUUGAUACCUUCCUUACGCAAUCUAUGUAUGUAUUAUGUUCCUGUUUGGAACUAUUUAAGUUGUACUGUUUGCGAUGCCUAGGACGUACAAGGGAAACUCUGUCCGUUCGGCGGUCUAUCGGCGCACCGAAUCCGACCAAAGAGGCGAGUCUCGGGGCGUGAUAGACAACUUCCUAAAGGUUUCGACGUUCCGGAUGUGGUGCUCGCUGUAUAGAAGGGAUCCAAGCACCAAGGAGAAAGUUACACAACCUAUCCGUCGAACUAAAAGCUCCUCGGGGAGCGACGUUACUAAUUCAACAACUAGAGGCCCCCCAGCAGCAACCAAGAUGAGCACGACGAUGUACAGGGUCCAGCGGCGAAGUCACAGGUGCCCAGAUCCGCUAGAUCCACGAUCUCUGUCUAUUGGAUCCCUCCAACUCGAGCCUAAAUAAGGCAGCAUCCAGCAGCAGGGCUAUUUUGCUACCGUGCAACCCGAAGAUGGCCUACAGCGGCCAGGUAUAGUAGCCCCGACCGAAGAAGACCCCGAGGUGAGGUUGCCGGCGGUGGGGGCUCCAUACAUCAAGCUGCGACCGCACCGACACAAGCUUAGUUUUAGGUGAGCUCAGGGCUCGAGGAAGGCGGCGAGGUUGGCGAGGCAAGCUUGCGGGCGCAAGAGCAUCCACAAGCUAGCGGCGGCGGCGGCGAUGCAGCAAUGCUUUCGAGAGAGAGAGGGAGCUCAAGAGCAAAAAAUGUUAGAGAUCAUAAGGAAGAGAAGAGAGAGAGGAAGAAGACCAUGGCUGGCCUACGCCGGCCUGGGAAGUCGCCGGCAACCCGCAUGGGGUGUGGCGGCGGUUGUGCAAGAGAGUGGGUUAGGGUUAGGGUUUACAAAACCUGUAUAGAUAUCUUUAUAUAAAUAUAUGUAUACACACACACACACAUACAUAUGUAUAUAUCCCUUGUAAAAUUACAUUAACCCCCUCCGAAGUCUCUCUUUCUCAACAACAACUACAAAGCACUGCAUUUUUUUGCAGGGGGUCUUCCUGCAGUAAAAAUUUAUACUUUUUACCCAUAGAAUCUAGCAAUUUUUAUAGAAAUACCCCCGAUCAAAUUCUCCUCUCUCAACUUCAAAUCUAUGCCAUUUCCCACAGAAAUCUUCGAAUUUCGUAAAACUUGAAUCCGUGCAUUCCUUGUUGAGUCUACUAUCAUGUGAUCUCUUCUACAAGUCAAAAUUCCUAAAUUUUUCAUAUGAAAUGGUAGCCUCUUCGCGAACUGCUCCAUUUUCACAAACUGCAGAAAUUGCAAUUUGGUCCCCAAAACUCAGAAUUUCAAACUGAGAACUCACCAUUGCAUGUAAAUUGCACAGUUGCACCCUCCCCUAAAGUUUUUAUGCAAUUUGGCACAUGAAAUGUUGUGCCUUUUUCACAACAAUUCAAUUUCUCCAAAAUGGUCACUAUUUGAAUUUCGCUAAUUAAAUACAAUGCUUUCAACUCGCAGAAACCAGAAACAGACUUCAUCACGACCUCCGGCACUGUUGGACUAUCAAAGUGAUGAUCUCGUUUCGUUAGACACGGUUGCAAUUUGCUAAAAUACUAUAUCAACUUAUCAGAUCCCCUAUUUGAAUUUAGGGAACCAAAUUAAUAUUUAAAUUCUAAAUUUCAAAUGUUAAUUUUCCAAAUUCGAAAAUUUCGAUUUCCUACGACUUCUCUCACUCCUCAAUUGGGAUAAUAAUCCCCUAAUUAGAAAUUAACCUGAUAGAUAUAUAUAGAAUAUUUCAACUCCAUCUCGAUCGUCUCAUUCUUCUAAUUAGAUUAUUUUUUAAAUUAUUGAUGGUGGUGCCUCAAACCGUGUAACUUUACCAUUUUCUUGCCGUAUUUCUAAAGAUUGUCAUGAACCUGCACAUUUAUCAGGUGGGCAAAAAAUACCAAUCAAGCAUAAAGGCGUAAUUGAUAUCUCUUCUAGCAUUGUAAGGCGAUGUUUCAUGUGUAUUCUAUCAGAUAAAAAGCUAACACGUGAACUAAAUUGCAUGUGCUUCCAUAUUUUUCUCAGUUUUUGUGGGUCAACGACUCGUCAACAAAGAGGCUUAGUUGGAGUAGGUGAAUUAAUAUUGCGGUGCAUGGACUACAUCAUCUCUUGCGUCGUUUUUUCGUUAUUAGAUUACGAAACAUGAACUUAAUUUUCCUACUUCACGAGCUUCGUCAACUGGGUUACGUCACAAGUGACCUGGGAAUCUAUACACACGGUCAACGUAUCCCAAGUGUGUGACUAAUGAUAUUUAUAAUAAAUAUGCCUUGUCAAAUCAACUUUUGUUUGUGAUAGUUGCCAUCGUGCUACACAAGCAAGGCUCAAUUUCUUUCUAGAGCAGUGCAGUAACUUCUCAUCGAAGAGUGGGAUUAAUUGCUCAUCACUUUGUCAUGCUUCAAAAAUUCGACCAAAAAGAUCUCAAGAAUAGAAAAUAAUUUUAAAAACUUUUUUGAGCCUCUGAAUAAGAUUUGAGAGAUCAGUUUGAACAAAAUGGAGUCAAAUUAAUACUUUGAAUUAACUAAAAAUUAAUUAAGUAAAUAUUAAUUUGAUUCAAUAUGAAUAUAUCGAAUUUGAACAAAACAAGCUCAAAAGUCUUUGAAAAGUUUUUUAAAUUAGCCAAAUUUUAUUUGUGUCGUUGCAAAGUUUUUGAAUGGUUUUAAAGAGGUCUUAGCCAAAUUUUAUUUGUGCCACGCCUAGGGUUCGAGCGAGAGUAGUCCUGCGGUAAUGUGCCCAGAACUAUCGUGUACACAAGGCUCCCUCAUGCACAUGAAGCAACAAACUACCACAAUAACUCAUACACAGUAAUAGAGAUCAAAUACGAGUUGGAGUAUCAAGUAUGAAAACACUAUUCUAAUAUGAGUAUAUAACUACUAAACCAAAGAAAAUGCUAGAAGUUUUAAAUUCAAAUUUUAAAACACUUCUAAAAUGUCAUUGCCCUACAAGGGUCCCAAUACUAGUCUCACCAAAAUAAAGUGGUGGAGAGCUAACUAUGGCGCAAUCUCUUUGCCUUGAUCAUACACGAAAGACAAAGGAUACUCUGAAAAAGGAGCCAACAAAAUGGAGUGAGAACUAUAAGAAAUAAUUUCUAGUGAAUACCAUCACCAUAAGAAGCAAGCAUUCUACCCACUAGGUCUACUAGAAGCAUUUAGUCAAGAAAUAGAUAAUAAGUGCCAACAUGUAAAAAAAAAAACUUCUAACAACAAAUAUAACUAUUAUUGUGCUUCUGCUGGAUCAACCAUGUCAAUGGUCAUCUCUACAUGUGUCGCUAUAAAAAAAAGUAAUAUUUAAGGAUGUUUUUUCAAUAUUUAACGAUGCUUAAAAGCAUCUCAAUAUAAUCUAGCGUCACAUUUAAAAGCAUCGAUUAAAAUGUCGGGAAAUAAAAAGUCGCCACAUACUGUGAGUAUUUUUUUAUAGUGUUUGACUGAGUUGGAGACGUUUUUUUAUAGUGUUUGACUGAGUUGGAAACGUUUUGGCGCCAAAUAAAUGCAAAAAUGAACUCAAGAAGUCAAAGAUUUAAUUUGUGAGGUACAAAAGUCGAAAUAUUUGAUCUUGAGGGGCCUUUUUGCAUUUUUUUUCUUUUUCAUUCUAUGGUGGCCACGUAGCCCUUGAUGUAUGCCUUAUAAGAGGCAUGCCUGAGCCUUAUUUCUUUUGGUAAGGGGGAAAAAAAAAGAGAAGCAUAGGGAGACUGAGCACGACGAAGGUAAAAGGACAAAAAAAAAAAAAUUUGCUUUCAUAGUGAGUCGAGCGCGCGCGUGUUUAUUUUUUGUAUUUCGACAUCACGGUUAGUAUAACAAUAUUAUUAUUUCUCGUUUUAGCACUACAACAAAAACGGUCUAUAGCGACAUUUUUAAAUGUCGGAAAAAAGUGUUGCUGGCUAAAUUUACCGACACUUUUGAAAAGUGUUGCUAUAUGUGGGGUCGCUAGGUAUAUAGUGACAGUUAAAGAGUGUUGCUAUAAUCUAAAAGAGUGCAGCUAAUUUACCAACAUUUUAAGCAUCUAGCAACCGCCGGAAUUCUACCUCGUUGACUGCAGUGGCGGAGGAGGACGAGAGGAAAUGAUCUUCGUCUAGGAUUUCAGUCGAUUGAAUGAGGGGAGAAGGGAAAAUGAUAAUCGAAUUUUCUUUUCUUUUUCUUUUCUGUUUGUAAUCGGGCCGAAUGGGCUAAGUGGAGUGGGUUGAGUAGAGUACCCUUUUAAUUUUAGUUGGAUUGGACUUUAUAUUUAGGCAUUAGUACGAUUUUUUUUAAGUUUUGGCAUAAAUGUGACACUUAUACAAAAGUGUCCCAAACAUGUGUCGCUAUAACCUAAUUCUGUUGUAGUGUAGAUUCUUUUGAUAAAUUUUUUGUGGAAAUUGAGAGUUAGAAACUGAUUUUUUUUAUAUGUUUUAGGAGUUGAUUUCGUGGCUGCAUGUCGUUCAGACUAGAAGAGCUGUGGCAUAUCAUCUGAUUAUUUUGACUGUCGUACUGUUUCUUGGAUUUAUGAUAUAGAUGGAUUUUGUGUUGUCAAAAUUGGCAGACUAAUUUUUAUAUUCAUAUUAUAUUAUUUAACCUCUGAGAUAAACUGUUGAUGUAGUUGAGAUAGUAGUGAUAUUUUGAUACUUACCAGUAGAGUAAAUUAAGACAUAUAUAUCUGUUAUAUUUCUAAAGGUCAACAGACAAUUACAGAUAGUGUGAGACUAUAACUAUAUUUUGGACACUAUAACAGUAUUAUUAUGAUCUAUUUGAUCAUUGCAUUUGACCACAGCCUACAUACUAAGUUGAGUUUGACAGUGAUACUAUACUCGAUUGUGAUAGCGUCCCGCAAGUGCCACUCCGGAGGUUGGGUUAUGAGAUAUUAUUAUAGUAUGGGCGAGACAGUAGCCUGCAUGGUAGCGGACUACUAUAGGUAGGUGCUGAAUACGACCCAGCGCAGGCUAGACCUGACUGUUGAGUCGGUCACUAUGAUUGGGUCUUAUUGCAAUGUUUUAUUCAGUAACUAAUUGAUGCAUGGCGUAUAUGAAUUGUAAAUUUCAGUUAUAUUGUAGAAGUAUGAUAGUAGUAAUUAUUUUCAGCAAUUAUUCAUAUUAGUAAUUAUUUAUUUACACUUCUCAGUCAUUUACUAUUUUUACCUCUUAUGGACCUAGUGGUGUAGACCGUCAGCGUUGAUGAUCGUACACACUAGGGACUAUUGAUUAUAAUUUUCAAAUCCUCUUUAUUAAUAUUUUAUUUCAGAACCUUCAACAUUAGUGACUGAUCGAGAUAAGGGGAUUGUAGAUAGUUAGUAUCUCCUAUCCUUUUUCUUUUUGUGUGUGUAGUUGAACCACCUAUCAUAGUAGAUAGUAACUUGUACAGUACUUUGAGGUUUGAAUAGUCAGAGAUGUUAUACCAUUUUGGGGGACGGGUAUAGAGAUGAUUGUAUAUCUUUACGGUGUUGCUAUAGUAUAUAAUUUUUAUUUUCUUCUGAUACCUAUUGUUGUUAAAUUUUAGUAAAUUUUGUUGAAUAGAUUUUGUUAACGCUUUAUAUGUAUAAGGUGUAUCCUUGUGCAUGCGGCGGGUCUGUUGACGUAACCCGGGAUGCGGCGGGUCUGUUGACGUAACCCGGGAUUUCGCUGUAAUUCGAGACGUGACACCACGUAACUACUGACGCUUAUGCUAAGCGUUAGUAAAUUAUAUUCUGACGCUUUAAAACAUCAAAAUUUUUUAAAAUCCUUACGCUUUAAAGCGUCGAAAAAUUAAAAAUAAUAGUAAAGUUUAUUAUUUAAAUAAAUUAGUUUAAUACAAUAGAGGGUUCAUUUUGACGAUGCUUUUUGAAGCAUCGGUAUUCGCUAUGCUGUAGGGAUAUUUGGUGAUGCUUUCCCCAAGCAUCGUCUAAAAUGUGUCGUUAUAUUAGGAUUUUCUUGUAGUGAUCAACGUACGUGAAUAUUUGUUGACUACACCAGUGCCACAUUAGCCGACCAAACAAGGUCUCAUCUAGCUUGCGUCUUGCCUAGUGAGACGUCGAACAAUCAUAUACGAACCCACAUCAGCACUCAACAGCUAGCGUGAGGUGAACAAUCGCAUCCUCUCUUGGUUAUACCUUCAGAGGACCAAGACUUGUAGGGAGCGACCCUCACAAAAUAAAAUACUCAUUGAGCACCUAAAAAUGGUUUCAAUUUGGAUGCCUGAAAUAGAGAAUCGAGCACCUGAAAAUGGUUUCGAAGGGUCCCCCGUUGCGCUUGAAUCUUUUGAACGCUUAUCUGGAGAGCUGGAAUUUCGAGAACUGGACUAUUCGAACGCCCGCAUUGCCCUACGAGUGCCUGGAAGUUAAUUCGGACUCUAUCUUUGGGCGUCCGGAUGAUUUCCAAACUGCCAACCUAAGGGGGGAAAUCCUACACAAAAGAUUUGGAUGUCCGAUAUCCCCUGCAAGCAUUCGGAGCAACUUUCGGAUAGUCCUUGUUGGCGUCCGAUGCCACAUUUGGACGCCCAACUCGACAGCUUCCCUUGUGUGAGAAGUCGACCUUUUGGAUGCCUGAAAUACCCUGCGGGCACCCGAAUUGAAAAGCGAGCGAAGCCAGCACAUGCCUCCAACAACUUCGAGGUGUAGCUACAUAUUUUGGGGCAUUGUCACCUUCUAUCGAAUGCCAGAAAGUUGGGCCAAGUGCUCGAAAAGUUUGGGCGAGCGCCGAAAACUAGCGUACAGAUAUGGUCUCUGACUCCGUCAUCUUUAGGAUUUUGAGUUCACCUCUUAUAGUUUGUCAGCGAACUCUUUUCGCCUUCUAUUCGGCUUUGUAGGUAUUUGCAAGGAUCCCCCAGGCUUGUCAUGAGGUGGUAGCAGCCGAAACUUGUUUUGAUGAAGAGGGCCUUCUGAUCCUUCUUUUUUUGACUCUUUUAGAGCCGUGAUUUAAUUUUCUUGGAGCGCAGCUUCAUCCGGAGACUCUACAUAGAGUCUCUAGAUAGUUUCGAACAAGUUCCAUUUUGCAUCACAUCUAACUGAUUCCUUAGUUUGGAUUGAAAAUGGAGAGGAAAAAAUGAGAAGAACUUUACUUUUCUUUUGAUUGAUAAUACAGUCACACCCUAUUGCCUCUAUUUAUAAGGCUUAGACUAGCUACAUAAGGAAGAACAAUCUAAACUUAUCCAAAACCUCAAAAGAAACUUGAUUAAUAUUAAAGCUAGCUAUUUAUGAGAUAAAACAAAACCCAACAAAUAAUAAAUUUCAAAAUAAUAAAAUAUAUCCUAAUUAACAAAGAGAGAGAUAAAAUAAUUAAUUUUAUCUCUUUCCAACAAUUUGGACAUGUUACUAUAAAAAUAUUUUUUGAAUAAAAUAAUGAAAUGUUUGAGAUAAUUUUCAGGAAAAAAAAGCUAAAUAUUUUGGAUUUAUUUGAGAGAAUAAUAAAAAUGCAAAAGUUCAUUAGUGCGCACUAUUGAAACAAUUGAAAUAUACAAGGAAAACUGAACAAACGAAAAUUAUUGCUGCACCUGGCGUAUAACCUUGUCAACUCACUACAAUAAAAACGGUCUAUAGCGACACUUUUAAAUAUAGGUACAUAUCAAAAAAGUGCUGCUAGCUAAAAUUACCGAUCUUUUAAAAAGUGUUGCUAUAUGUGGGGUCGCAAGGUAUAUAGUGACAGUUAAAGAGUGUUGCUAUAACCUAAAAGAGUGCUGCUAAUUUACCAACACUUAUUUAAGCAUUUAGCAACUGCCGAAACUCUAUCUCGUUGGCUGCGGUGGCGGAGGAGGACGACAGGAAAGGCUCUUCGUCUAGAAUUUCAGUGGAUUGAGUGAAGAGAGAAGAAAAGAUGGUAAUUAAUUUUUCUUUUUUUUCUGUUUGUAAUCGGGUCCAAUGGACUGGGUGUGGUGGGUUGAGUAGAGUAAUCUUUUAUUUUUGGUUGGAUUGGGCUUUAUAUUUAGGCAUUAGUAGAUAUUUUUUUAAGUUUUAGCAUAAAUGGGACACUUACUCAAAAGUAUCCCAAACAUGUGUCCCUAUAACCUAAUUCUGUUGUAGUAACUGUGCACCGCACUAGUCCAUCUCCCACAUCAAGAUUAGAUAAUUUGUAAAAAAAAUUAUAAAAAAAUAAAAUAUUUAGGUACGAUGAAAAUUUGGACAUGCUAGCUGGAUUAACCAAAAAAAGAAAAAAAAAAUCUCUAAUAAGUUACAAAUUAAUUCUCUAAUAUUUGAGGUAUAUAAUUUAGAAUGCUACAUAAUAAAAGUUACCCUUACAUUUGCUUUCUAUUUAUUUGCUUCUCUGCAUAUGCCAUUUUCAUUUCUUUUGGUUUAAGUUUAUUUAAAAAUAUUUAAACUUUAUUUGAAAGAAAUGUAAAAAAAAUGUGAACUUCUUAUUAUUACAGCAAUUGUAGCAGAUCCCCAGAUUGGCACACCCUCAUGUACUAUUCAUGUGUCAGUAUAUGUAUAUGAUAUUUAGAUUUUUAAUUAAUUGACUUAAAUAUACAGUUAAGGGUGUUGAUUGUUUGGUUCCAAAUUAUUUGCAAGUAAAUUCACUACAACAAAAACGAUGUAUAGCGACACUUUUAAAUGUCGACACAUGUCAAAAAAAAUACUGCUCGCUAAAUUACCAACACUUUUAAAAACUGUUGCCAUAUGUGGGGUCGCUAGGUAUAUAGUGACAGUUUAAGAGUAUCGGUAUAACUUAAAAAGAGUGCUGCUAAUUUACCAACACUUAUUUAAGCAUUUAACAACCGUCAGAAUUUUGCCUCGUUGGCUGUGGUGGCGGAGAAGGAGGAGAGCGAAGGGCUCUUCGUCUAGGGUUUCAGUGGAUUGAGUGAGGGGAGAAGGGGAGAUGGUGAUCGAUUUUUUUUUCUUUUUUGUUUGUAAUCGGGCCGAAUUGGCUGGGUGGGGUGGGUUGAGUAGAGUAACCUUUUAUUUUUAGUUAGAUUUGACUUUAUAUUUAGGCCUUAGUAGAUUUUUUUAAAAGUUUGGCAUAAAUGAAACACUUACACAAAAGUGUUCCAAAUAUGUGUCAACCCUAUAAUCUAAUUAUGUUGUAUGAUUGAACCAAACCAAACCGAAUACAAAAAUGCAUAAUACAGUUUACCUACUUUGUAAUUUACUUUACUUCUAAAAGUAGCUGAAAUUUGAUUUUUAGUUUUGAUUCAGCUUUUCUUUUUGACACUUCUUUAUGCUCAAUGGAAUCGAAAAAAGAACGGCGGUACUAUAUAUACGCAUUUCUUGUCACUAUCGUGUAUCCAAAAUUUUAUGAUCCAGAUUUAAUUUUGUAUUUAACAAUUACCGUUAUCCAAGUUUGGUUGUUAGAUUAUAGAUAUUAAUUUUUAAGAAAAGUAGGAUAAUUGAAACCAAAAUGCAAUAGAUUUUUUAAACCGACUACUUCAGUUUGGUUUAAAAGUUUCUUCCAAAUCACCAAAUCAAACUAAGUUCACCAAUAUAUAUAAACAAUUUAAAAUACAACUUUGUUAUGCAAUAUACAUCAACAAUAUUAUACGAAACCUUUUUUGUGAGGGACCAGGUAUUUUCCUCACGAGAAUCGUUGAUCCUAUUGAUAGCCAAUAAAAUAGAAAGUUUUAACAAAAUUUCUCAUUGAAAAUGUGAAAGAAUGGAAAUCACAAGAGUCAGAAGUUAACCAAGUGUUAAUAGAAAAAAGUUGAAAGUUACGGAGGCCUAAUUCAAAAUGGCUUAUAGUUAAGGUCUCCAUGCCUAAUUUUAAACGUUAAAUUAAUUAAAUGCAGUAACCUGAGGGAUUAACUAAACAACUAUAUGAAACUAUAUGAGAUUACUUUCUCUCCAUGCAAAAGUACAUAUCUCAUAUGCCUUGCUUUGGAACCCAACUUAUUCCCCUCAAAUAUACCAAACCCAACAUUUGUCCCCCACUACUAGGCCUAUCAAUAGCAGCAACUACAGAUUCCCACAAAGAAAAAGAUGUUGUGUAAUGUUAUUAGAGGCACCAAUAAAAACCAACCAACUCUAAUUGCUAGAUACAUUGAUCUCAUUGUUGAUAUUUCUCCCUCACUAGCUCCAAUUACACUUCUAUGGCUCUCUCCGCGAAUCCUAAGUUCCUCCUCGCAGCCACCCACGCCCGUACGGUGGCUCAUAUACUGGCCCUGGUGGCGGUGAUCCUCAUGCUGGUGUGGGUGCUCCAUUAUCGAGGCGGCGCGAAUCUGCGCUCAGAUGCGGAUCCAGAGUUGAUCUUUAAUGUAUGUGUCUCAUUCAUGUUGUACGAGUUAAUAACAUGUUUAGGUAUAAAUAAGUUGUUCCUACAUAAGUUAAUGUGCUACUUAUAAAAGAACAAACUGUCAUAUCAGCUAUAUAUGCAUGUCUAUUUGUCAUCUUUUCUCUCUUAUCUUUUCUUUCACUUUCUCUUUCCUCUUUUCCAUUCAGCUGAUCUAAUUUUCUCUCAGUUUGCGCCUCCCUUACGCGUGAUUAAAAACUUAUUCGAGUCAAAACUAGAUUAGACAAUAGCUACAGCAAUUAACUACAUUAAUUCUAUAUCCUGACCCUAUCUAUAUGCGUAAUUAAAACUAGAAUCGAGCAGUGUCAUUUAUAUGUACAAAGCUAAACCUAAAUUUAAAUUAGAUUUAGUUGGACCCAACUAGAUUUACCCUGGUUUAGGAGAUUUAUAUGAGUGUAAGAUUAAUUGAUGAUGUUUCUUUUGUUCCAAGUAAACUAUAUAUAAAAAUUUGAAGUACAAAUCUAAUAUGGCAUAUUUAGAAUACUAUUAGAAAUUUCAUAAUUAAACAUCUAUCCCAAGACACCUACAUAAUAAAGAUGAAAUCACAAGACACAUAUGUUACCCUGGUUUAGGAGAUUUAUAAUGUAUUUGCUCUUAUGCACUCUAAUUCUUUCUUUAGGUACACCCUUUGGUGAUGAGUUUGGGGUUUAUUGUUGUCAUUGGAGAAGGUACGCAGGAUCUUUCACAUUGCACUACAUGUUACAAAAUUUCAAGAUUGUCGCGAGUUAAUUAACCCAUACAUAUUAUCAUGCUGUUUUUGUCUUGAAAAAUUUUGAUCUUUCUUAUCUUGGCGCAGCAAUAAUGGCGUAUAAAACGGUUCCGACUGAGAAGAAGGUGCGAAAAUUCAUCCACAUGAUGCUUCACUUCGUCGCACUAACUCUUGGGAUAUUCGGCAUCUACGCCGCCUUCAAAUACCACAAGGAGAGUGCCUCACCUGACAUGCUUAGCCUGCACUCUUGGCUGGGGAUCUGCACCAUCUGCUUGUUCGGCUUGCAGGUUCUUAUAACCUCACUCUUUAUUUUGCGCUUUAUUUUCUCUAUUAUUUCGAGGUUUUAGUAUUGACAAAAAGAUUCAAAAUGGUUUAUAGUUCACCUAAGUUUAUGUAUGACCGGAUUUGAGUGAUUCAAUUGUAUCGAUUGUUAGCUCAUAGUAUAGAUUGCUCUAUUAAGACAACUUUCCACUAUUUUGAACUUAACUAGCCAAUAGUAAGUUGUUGCUAUAUUGGAACCUACUGGAGAAAACUAAUUAAGGCCUGUUUGGCCCAAUAAGUGCUUUUCUCAACAGCUGCACCAUGUAAUAGAAUGGAAAUUCCCCAACUUUUUAAUUCUCAAAGGAGCACUUUUAUGCUUGGCUAAAGAAUUGUUAGUGCUGGAACAGUAAUGGAUAAAUUUAAUAGGAACAAUAUAGUCCAAUAAAUUAAAAUUUUCAAUAGUGUUUGACUAGAAAUGUAACACUCUAAUAGUCAUAAUCAAACGGAAAAAAAGUUCUAAUUGGAAAUAUAAAAGACUAUGCACUUUAGCAAUAAUAACUGGGACCGGUGGUUUAGACCUGACGAGUUAUUAUUAUUAGCGAUUCAGGUUAUUUAUAUUUGGUAUGAAAACCGAAUACUAAUCAAAAUUGUAAGAGCUAAAUGCUAUACGAGGUAAACUACUACAUCAUUGAUUUGGCCCUCUGGUGGGAGCCACCUCUUUAACGCGUGGUAAUUCUUGGUUGACUGAUAUGUAGUCUAACCCCCAUAAUAUUCUGCUAUUUCCAAGGCUAGAUUUUUUUUUUUUCUUGCAAAAUAUUUCACUGCUAUUUUCCAAUGUAGAUAAGUAGAAGGCAAUGCCAAGUAGGGUUGUAUAUAAAUGUUUUAUAGUAGUGAAAUUUUAGCUUAAAUAUCUUAAAAUUAAGAUGUAAACAACUGAAUGUGAUCAAGAACAUCUUAAGCAUACUCACAUAGUUUUACAAAAAUUGAAAAAUGUAUUUCCCAAGCAUAAAAUUGUAUUAAAAUCAACAAAUUAUAACUUUCAAAAAAAUUCCAAAGUUGAAUGCUUCAGAUAAAGGUUUCAGUAAUUAUAAUUUUUUUCACGUAGGUUUUCUUAAUAUAUAUUGCAGAUCAUAUUUUACCUUUCUGAUCUUCAAAUUUGAGGCUCCCAUGAUUGAAUUUCUACUGACGUAAAGAAGGGUGUAACUUAAAUAUUUAACUUGAUCCCAACAUAUGUACAUGCACCUUAAUUAUACUAUUAGACUCCAUUUGGUUCGGGAAUUAGUAGGAACUAGUUAUACCGGAGAUAGCUACAAAUAUGGAUUUUUGUAAGAACAAGAAUAUUUUUUUGUUUGGAUGAAAAUAUAAAUAUAAACUGGAACUAGAAAAAUUAUGUUUGGAUGGUUGUUGGGAAUAAAAGAAAUAGUUGAUGGUUAUAAAUAGAAAAUAAUAAUAUUAUCCCUCUCAUUUUAUUUGAAUUUAAAUUUUAAAAAUUAAAAUUUUAAACUUUAAAUUUUAAAUUUUAACUUUUAAAUUUUAAAUUUUGUCAAAAUUUUAAUUUUAAAUAUCAAAUUUUAAAUUUAAGACCAAAUUUAAAUUUAAAAGAUAUAAAAUAUCAAAUUUAAAAUUUAAAAAUUAAAAAUAUCAAAUUUAAAAUUUAAACUUUAAAAUUUAUAAUUUUGAGAUUAUAAAUUUUAAUUUUUAUAAAUUUAAAUUAUAAUUUAAAAUAAAUCUCUCUCUCUCUCUCUCUCUCUCUCUCUCUCUCUCUCUCUCUCGGGAACAACUUGUUCCCACCCCUCCCAUUCUUGUUUGGAUUAAAAAUGAUCAAUAAUUAUUGCUUGAAGGUAUAUACAAUGUUUUAAAAACUGAGUCAAAUAGUGACUCAAAAAUAUUACUGGGUCAAGGAUCACAAUUUCAAAAAGUGUUUAAUUUUUAUAAAUUUAAAUUAUAAUUUAAAAUAAAUCUCUCUCUCUCUCUCUCUCUCUCUCUCUCUCUCUCUCUCUCUCUCUCUCUCUCUCUCGGGAACAACUUGUUCCCACCCCUCCCAUUCUUGUUUGGAUUAAAAAUGAUCAAUAAUUAUUGCUUGAAGGUAUAUACAAUGUUUUAAAAACUGAGUCAAAUAGUGACUCAAAAAUAUUACUGGGUCAAGGAUCACAAUUUCAAGAAGUGUUCAACCAUUGACUGACCAACUGACGUUAGUAUGACAUCAUAAAUAUUUUACUUAUUAUUUUAAAUUUAUUAUGUAUAAAAAUAUACAUAUAUUAUUAUUCAAGUACCAUAUUUAAUUAUAAAAUACUAAUUUAUAAAUCAAAUUAGGUAGAUAUAAGUUUUCAAGUUUCAUAUUUUAAAUGACUAAUUCAUACUUAAUAGAAAAUAAAAUUAGGCCAAUUUGCAUAAAAUAUCCAUUAGUUUUGAGCUUUUACAAAAGUAGACCCUCUUUUUGAAUUUUAUAGAUUCGGAUUUUUAAAAAAUUGAACAAAAUACUUUUAUUCCCUUUUCUCUCUUCUUUUUUGAUCUCUCAUUCUUUUAUUUUCUUACACUCCGAAGAGGGUGGCGAAGGCGGAGGCGAAGGUGGCUUGCCUCGCCUCUGUUCCGCGCAUCCUCACCCUUGCCGUGCACCCUCCCUCCGCCUUCCUCGCCUCCAACCCCGUCGAGGCGGCACCUCGGCCGUCGUUUUUUUUUUCUCUCCGGCUCUCCUCCACCACCUCCUCGGCUUUUUAUAACAGUAAAGAUGACAGCGUCACAUCCUCUUCCUCUCUUUAUUUUUCUCUCGUUCUUUUUUUUUUUUCUCUUCGACCCCAAUCUACCACCUUCGCGACCUUUCACAACGGUAAUGAGGACAGCGCUAUAUCGUCUUCUUCCGCCUUUGCCGGCGUAGGCACCGAGAUCGGUGUCGGAGAAAGAGGACUCAGAGCGAGUGCGGGUGAGAGCGAAGGCAAAGAAAAAAUAUGCAAAAGAUAAAAAAAAUAAAAAAAUAUAAAGAAAUUAUUCUUUUCUAAAAAAAUUAAAAAUCAGAAAAAAAAAAAAGAAGACAAUAAAUUUACACUAUUUCAAAAAAAAGAAAAUAAUAAAUUUAUACUAUUUUAGAAAAAAUAUUAUAUUAUUUUAGCAGAACGUUGUAUUAUUUUAGAAAAAAAUUACAUUAAAAACAAAAUAUAUUCUUUUAGAUAAAAAUUAUACUAUUUACAUAAAAAUUAUAUUAUUUCUCCUUCUCCUCCACCUGCUCUUCUUCCUGGCCAAAUAGUGCAAAAAUUGUCUUCUUUUUUUUUCUUUUUUCUUUUUUUUAUAAUAAUGUUUUGAAGUGUUUGGUGCAGUGGUUGUUUGGGUUCUUCUACUUUUGGCUUCCGCGAGGUCCGGCGGUGAACCGGGCGAUGGUGAAGCCGCUGCACGCCUCCGCCGGCCUUGCGAUCUUCCUGAUGGCGAUCUGCACUGCGGAGACCGGCUUGGUCGACAAGGGCGGGCUGACGGUCUCCGAGACGCAGCUGAUCAACUUCACCGGCCUCUUCAUCCUCCUCUUCGGCGUCGCCGUCAGCAUCGUCGUCGCCCUGCCCAAGAUCGUAUAGCUGGCCUCUACCAAAUCUUCAGCAGAUUCCAUUAGCUAGUAUUGUUUCAAACCUUUUGAAACCCAAGUUGCAGAUUUAGCUUGGUGAGAUAUAUAUGGGAUGUGUUCGCAUCAAAUUUUAAUUACGCCGAUUGUGAAAUCUUCAAUUCCUUCUCUUACGCUGUAAAUUAUGGGAUAAAAAGACAUUGAAAAUUAAUUACAUUUUUUAUUGGAACUUGUUCCAUGUGCUAGCAAUAAAUAAUAUUAACGAGCAAAAAAAAAAAAAAGCGAAAAAUAAUAAUAAAAAAAAACACAAAAAAGGGACAACGUUUUAUAUGAUUCAGCAAGUUGCCUGUGUCUACAGAGAAAGCAAGAAUGAUGUAUUCUUUAUACGAAGACAAUCAAAAUACAAGCACAUAUCUUUAUGUUUCUCUCAAUCUAAUGUACUAGCCUUAUGAUUACUACCAUCCUUCUUUUGUUAUAAGAAAAAAUUCUCACCUUAAUCUCAAAUAAAUUUUUUUUUCUUAAAAUAGAGAGAAGCUCAAUAAACUACUAAUUAACUUUUCAGACUUCUCCUAACACCUCACUUAAUUUACUCGUUUCUUAUUGCUUGUUCUCAGAUGGAAUUGGAAUUGUUUCUUAUUGCUUGUUCUCAGAUAGAAUUGGAACUCUUUCAUAGGCAUGCAUGUAGUUGCACAAUUGAAGUUGGCAACUUCAAUUAUUAAUUUUUCUUAAUUAGCUUAUGUAUAGGCUUUUUUUGGCAAUCAUGGCAGCAUGUGUGUUUCAUGCAUACAUACAUAAAACACAAGCAUACUUUACCGUCUAAUGAAAGCCAUUCUAUUCACACUUUAAAUAUUUUGGUAGAUCCAGUGUAUCUUAAACCAACUUUCAUAUCCAUAUCUUUUUUGCUUAUUAGUCCAAAAAAUCUAUGGGUCAAACAAAUAUCUUUAUGCCCUAUACAAAAGAAGACAUAUAAUCAACAAUAAUCAUAUUUGGCUAAUUGCUCUACAAAAAAUAUUAAGUACAAUAGGAAAUCAAAUGAAUUAAACAACAAAGGGAGAAGCAAAGUAAAACACAUAAAUAUUUACAUUGUGAAAUCCCAAAAUCACGCCCAUACAGGUGGAAAAAAAAAGAAAAAAAAAAGAAAAGAGGAUUCCAAGAUAAAGUUUCACCAGAGAGCUUCUCUUAAUUAAAUCUAGGGGCAAUUGCUUAUAUAUUCCUGAAAAGUUCUCGACUUUCUAAUUUACCCUUCUUUGAAGGCUAAUAAUGAAAAUGUUAUUUUUACAUUCCAACCUAUUUCUAAUAUACCCCUAGAGUUAAAAUCUGUUAAUGAACUCCGUUAUCUCUAUGAAAUUAUAAUUUUGCCCUUUCAAAUAUACCCUUCUAUCAUCAUUGAUUUUUCUUAUCUAUUCUUAAGUUAGGGGCACAAAAAGUAUUUUGUUUUUUGGUCUUGUAAAAUAUACCCUUCUAUCAUCACUAACAUUUCUUAUUUGCCAUUAAGUUAAGGGCAAAAGUGGUAUUUUAAUUUUUUUUAAUUGUGGUAGAUAUUUAAUCCACGUUUAACCCAAGUUAACUUAACAUGUGGUAACUGCAGGGGUAUUUUGGAAUAACAGAGGAACAUAUGAGUGGUAUAUUGGAAAGAAAAAAAAAAAAAAAAGUAAGGAAAAAUGAGAUAUUUCGAAGUUUUGAGGGGUAUAUAGGCAACUAUCCCUUAAAUCUAUGUGGUGGUGCAAUGCAUUAGCUAUUGCAUGGUUGUCAAUAUAAGUUUAAUUAGAACUUUAGUUCAAUUAGACUCCUAAUUAAAUUCUACUUAUUUCUAAUAAAUUUUAAAUCUUAUCUUAUUCUAACUUAAUUUGAAUUUAAUUCCGACCUAAAUAAUUAUAAAUCUAAUCAAAAUCUAUCAAUCUUCAUCAUGGUUUGAUUUGUAGUCUUCAAUCACAAUGCUGAGCUUACAACACAAACUCCAUCUUAACUAGAGUUUUCCAUCUUUUCUACUAAAACCCCGAAAAUGGUCGUCAAGUGUUGCUGCACAUUUCAUCUAUGCCGAUGCAAUGUUUGAACGUAUCAAUGAAAGAGGUUUAGUCAAUAUAUCUGUUAGAUUAUCUAUAGUACCAAUCUUGAUCGUGACAAGAUCACCUGUGCUAUUACAUCAUGAAUAAAACGAUAAUGAACACCUAUAUAUUUUCUUAUCUUAUAAAUUAUUUGAUCUUUACAAAAAAAAAAAAAUACAGCACUCUGGCGAUCACAAUGGACGAUAGUAGUCUCUUGACUAGAAAUAAGCUCCCAUAUAUGUCUCUUAAUCAAAUAGCUUUUUUCACAACCUCCGUCAUAAUAAUAUACUCUUCUUCAGUAGUGGAUAAAUUAGCACUAGCUUGCAAAGUAGCUUUUUAACUUACAGAACAACUACCUGAUGAGAAAUCACAUCCUACAAGUGAUCUCUAUUUGUCCAAAUUACCUACGAAAUCUAAAUCAAUAAAACCAACUAACGAGUCAUCAGAUCUCUCAAAAUCCAGGCAUACAUAAAAAAUUCUGCUUAAGUAUCUAAAAAAAAAAAUCACUUUACCACCGUCAAUUUGACUUAUUAAGAUUAGCCAUAUAUUUACUCACAAUACUGACAGCAUGUAAAUUAAGUAUCUAGAUAAAUGCAGACCAUCACAUACAUAAGAAUUCCAACUGCACUAGACUAAGGAACAUUUAGCAUAUACUUCUAAUCCUCAAUCGAUUGUGGCAACAAAGCAAUUAAAAAUAUAAAAUGAGAAGUAAGCGGAGUACUCAUGGUUUUUAGCAUUUUUAAUUCUAAAAAACUCAAAAUCUUUCUCAAUAUAAAUUUUCUGAGUCAAAUACAAUCUCCCUGAAGAAUCUUCUUAACUGCUCUCAUGUUUUUCAUUUCAAAUUCGUGACUUAACAAAGCUUUCAACAUAUAAUUCAGAAAUAUCUUCGAAAGCAAUAAGUAUAUCGUCAGCAUAAAGUAAUAAAUAAUUAAAAACUUCAUUGCCAAUCUUUCUAAAAUAAGGGCUUGUUUGGUUCAAGGGUGUGGAAUUGGAAUGGAUAAUGGAAUGGGAAUGAAUUGAAAUGGUAAUUAGAAUGACCCACUCUCCCAAAACGUUUGGUUUAUUUGUGAAUUGGGAAUUAGAAUGAGUUAUUCAAAUUUUAUUGUUUGGUUCAGGUAAACUAAAAAAAUUAUAGAAUACUAUAAUACUAAUUUUACUCUCAAAUAUAAAUUUAUAUUAUUUAAAAUUUAUAAAAAAUAUAAUACUAUUCUCUAAUAAGUUUUCCAAAAAAAAUAUCAAAUUUAUUUUUAAAAAUUUUUAUUGAUGUGGGUUAGGGAUAGGGUUUUGAGAGAGGAUAGGUUUUUUUUUUUUUUGAUGAGAAAGGGGUGAAGAGAAAGAGGGUGAGAUGGUCACAUGGGCUUUGCGCUUCCGGAAUGAAAUCUCAAUCCGGGCUAGAAGAUCGGAAUCAAGUUGAAGGCUAAUGGGCUAUUCCCAUUCCAGUCCAGAAUAGAAAUCCCAAACCGAUUCAUGCAAACCAAACAAAAUUAACCGAAUUUGAUCAAACCGAUUCCCAUUCCAUACCCAAAAUAGAUGAACCAAACAAGCCCUAAAUGUAACUGUCAUGCUUAAUCCUUUCGGUGAGGCGAGUGGUUGCAGCCAAGGCAUCACAGAGUAACUAGAUCAUUGUGAGCCGGUCCAGUGAGAGUUACCCAUUAUGGUUAAGUAAAACUAGGUACUACUUUGGAAAAAAUAAAUGUUGUAAAACUUUAGGAGAAAAACUAUGGUUUUAAAUUUAAUAGUGUUACUUUUAGGGCCUUUCUGGAUGCACCAUAAAAUAUCUCCAUAAAAUUUAUAAACUGUGAUUUUGGUACAAAUGAAAUAGAAAAUUCUGAAACAUAUAUUACAAAAUUCUACCGCUUCAACUUUUAAACUAUUUGGAUGCACAUUGUGGAACUCUAUGGGAGAUUUCUUUAAAUUUUAAAACUAAAAGUUUCAAUUUUAAAUUCUAAAAUAUUAAAUUUUAAAUUUGAAAUAUGAAAUAAAAUCUAAAUUUAAAUUUCAAAUUUUGAAAUCUAAAAUUUAAAAUUCAAAAUUUUUGAAUUAAUAUUUUAAAUUUUAAAAUUAAAAUUUAAAAUUCUAAAACCAAAAUUUUUUAUUUUCAAAUUAAAUAUGAAAAUUUUAGAAUUAAAAUUUUUAAUUUUAAAGUUUAAAUGUUAAAUUUUAAACUUGAAAUUUUAAAGUUUAACUUUUAAAAUUUUAAAGUGUAAAAAUUUGAAAGUCAAUAUUAUAUAAUUUAAAUUUUGAAAUUUAAAAUUUAAAAUUUUGAGUUUUGAAAUUUGAAAUUUUGAAAUUUGAAAUUUAAAAUUAUAAAAUUUAGAAUUUUGAUAUCCACAAUUUAAAAUUUACAUUAUAAAAUUUAAAAGAAAUUUAAAAUUUGAAAAAUUUUGAGUUUUGAAAUUUGAAACUUUGAAAUUUGAAAUUUAAAAUUAUAAAAUUUAGAAUUUUGAUAUCUCCAAUUUAAAAUUUAAAAUUUUGAAAUUUAAAGUUUAAAAUUUGAUACAUCAUUGGAGUGAGGGAGCUCAAAAAUGGUGGAUUUUUUUUUCUUUCGUUGGAGUAAAUUGUUAUUUCACUCCAUUCUUUAGAGUAUGGUUUAACUAUACUUCAAAAAUAUAUGCUCUUUUUUAUCUGUCAAAUACUUUGUCGGAUAAUAUUUCUAUCGGUAUAGCAUAAUUUAACUAUGCUACGUUUUAAGAUCCAAACGAGGUCUUAUGCUUUAUAUAUACAUGCGAUAUACUGGACCUUAACAAAUAGGCAACACUGCAGUAUGAAUUUUUCGUCAGCAUUUCUUUUUAUAGUGUUUGACUGAGUUGAAAAUAUUUUGACACAAAAUAGAUGCAAAAACGAACUAAAAAUCCAACAUUUAGCUUGUAAGGGACUAAAAUUAAAAUAUUUGAUUUUGAUGGACCUUUUUGCAUUUUUUGCAUUCUAUGCAUGGAAGCCACGUAGGUUCCAUGCAUAGCCUUAGCUUUAUCACCUUCUAUAAGAGAGAGAGAGAGAGAGAGAGAGAGAGAGAGAGAGAGAUUAGUUGGUUAAGAGAAAAAAAAAAAAGAGUAGCUAGCAAGGUUGGUUUUCUUUAGUAGCGAGCGAGUCGAGGGCGCACACGUGCGUUUAUUGGUGUUUCGACGUCAGGUUAGUAUCAUAAUAUUAUUAUCUUUUUAUUUAGACUCUUUUGAUGAAUUUUUGUAGAAAUUGAGAGUUAGAAAUUGAUUUCUAUGUGUUCUAGGAGCUAAUUUCGCAUAAUUUCUGACGAGAGAUUUUUCGAGCCACUCUAGGCCGUUGUGGCUACCGUUCAAACUAGAAGGGCAAUAGUGGAUCACCUCGCUAUCUGUCACGCCCCGGGGCCCAGCGGAAGUCCGCCCGGCACGUGUCCAGAUCUGCCAUAUGUCUAGAACAUAUAAGGCGUCUACGAAAAAGCAGUAAAUAAAAUAAUAAUACAAGAGAUCUAGCGAUAUCAGAGCAAAGUACUACUAGAUUCUACGACGGGAGAGUAAUCAUGCAACUAUAAAUCCAUAAAGUGAAACCAUAAAGUAGUAUAAAGAAAACCCAAAUACAAGUGCUAAAAGAGUACAUAGGUGGUCUCUAUACAUGGUACAAGAAUCUCUCUCUCACUACGACAAAAGAAAGAGUAACCACCUAAGCUCAAAAGUAGCUCCUCUCUGUCUAGCUAGGCGACACCCCUGCCGCGAUCCCGUGCCUCCGCCGGUGCCGAAGGCUCUGAAAGGAAACAUAAAGCAGAGGGCGUGAGAACUAUUAAAUAAUAGUUCCCAGUGGGUAAUUACUGACUUCAGUGAAAUGCGCCACUAGGCCCAACAAUUAAAAAGGGGUAAGUGUAAAUGUAAGCAAUAUGAACAACUAGUAAGUAAGCAUGGAAAUUUACUACAAUAUGAUGUCUCUACUUAGUAUGAAAUUGCAUAAGUAAUAAAGCUACUGUAACAUGAAUGUAAACGAGCAUCACUAACAUAAUAUCCACAAGCUAAAUAGUAAAUGUCAUUAUUUACUAUUCUAGUCAAAGUCCAAAUGGCAUAUUCUGUCACUAAGUUUCAAUCAUGUAAGACCCACCCGUAGGCUGUCUGGCCUGCGCCGUGCCUAAUUGCCCCGUGGUAGUCAACACCCCCACUCUAGGAAUGAGCCUCCCCCACGGCAUCCCAUUUCGGCGCCCAAUCCCGCACGAGCGAGCAUAUGUCGCGGUGGCUAUCUCCGGAGUGCCGGCUUGUAGGGAGCGACUCUCACAAGCAUGUGCAAAUGAGCACAAUGGCAAGCAAGCGAAAAAUCUGUCUCAAGUACCAAGUCCUCAUAUCUAAAAACAUGGAAUAUAUCAAGAAUCUCGAUGGCCUACCACUACGUCGUCAUGUCUAAAACACGGAAUAAUAGGGGAUGUCAGAAUGGCCUAUCACUAUGUCUCUAAGUUGCAGUUUCACAGUUUUCUAAGUCAGGUGCCCCUUUAUGGCACUUUGUCCACUAAGUCAAGUAUGGUGAUUAUGUUCAAGAGUACAAAAUUCUAAACAUUUUCCUCAUAAGAGACAUAUUCCCAAACUUGCAAUAAGAGUACUUAACACAUGCAUAGAUACUACACAUAAGGCUCUACACAUAAAGUGAAAUAUUCAUGAUACAUACUGCAUGCAUUCUAAGCAUUCAAAAAUUCACAUAAAUCCUAUCUAGGAUAAAAAUGCAUAAACCAUGAUGAUACGAAAGCGCUCCUGCAGCGCACUCUCCAGCUCUCACGUGGCUUCCCGCUCCCUGUGGUUGCUCCAAAGGACCUUUACAUACGAAAUGUCCCGAUUCCGUAAUUUCUUUACCUCGCGAGCCAAGAUCUUCACUGGUUGCUCCUCGAAGCUCAAAUCGUCCCGCAACUCCAAGGGUGUAGCAUCUAACACAUGAGUCGGGUCGAAGACGUACUUCCGAAGGACCGAUACAUGGAAGACGUUGUGUACCCCCGAAAAGUUCGGUGGUAGAGCAAGUCGAUACGCUACCGGACCUACACGUUCCAAAAUCUCGUACGGUCCAAUGAAACAGGGGCUCAACUUACCCCGAAUCCCAAAUCUCCUGAUCCCUUUAGUCGGCGAGACCUUCAAGAAAACAUGGUCUCCAACUUGGGACUCCAAGUCUCGCCGUCGUCGGUCAGCGUAGCUCCUCUGUCUACUCUGUGCCGUCAUAAGUCGCUCCCGAGCAAUACGAACCUUGUCCUCAGCUUCCUGGAGCACGUCAGGGCCUAAAACCAAUCUCUCGCCAACUUCACUCCAAUGAAGUGGCGAUCUACACUUCCGUCGAUAAAAUGUCUCGAAGGGUGCCAUCUUGAUACUUGCUUGAUAACUAUUGUUAUAAGCAAACUCCGCUAUCGGUAGAUGCUGCGACCAUCCUCCCUGGAAGUCAAUCUGUAGUAUCCUUGUUUUAUUUAUUAAUUAAUUAAAUUAUUUAUGUUUUAUGUCGGUUGGUGCUAAGUGGGGUGGCUUGGAUGCCACGUCCACCCAUGCAUGCAAAUUAGGGUGGCUUGGAUGCCGCGUGCACCCUUUGCAUGCUUAUCAACAAAUUAGGUGGGGAUUGCCUAAUCUUUCUACUUCUCUCUUUGUUCAACCGAAGCAAAGAGCUCGGAGGAGGUAGUCGCGAGCACGAGUUCGACGCCGACGACGCGCCGCGAAGCCGUUCGAGGGUACGGUUGGGAUCGUAGCGUUGCGAGGAAACUAGGCGAGGAUGCGUUUUCGCCGUUCUCGACGCCGCGUCGAUGUCCGAUUAGCCUUUGAGGUGAGUGUUCCCAUUGCACUGCUCCAAUAUUAUAUCUAUCGAGCUUGGUGUGAUUUGCAGAAUUUUCCAGCGGCGACCGUCGGGUAUUUCAGUUCUGUACUCGGCGGAUAGAGCGAUCGGUUUUCGACGGCGACUUUGAUUUGUUGAUUCGGACUUCGAGGAGGAAUCCACGAACCCUUACAUGCUAUUGAUAAAGUUUGCUUAGUCAAUUUCGCUCUUCUAUGAUUGCUUUUGAGCAGAAAUAAUGCUUUUGUCCGGAUCUCUCCCGAUGUAGAGUUGCACAGCGCACCACCAAAACCCAGAGCUGACUUCCGAGCCUGGAGAGCGUUUUCGAGACGUUUCGCAGGUUUUCCCAGCCGACGGCCCCACAUUCCUGUCCAGGAUUACCGCGACGAGGUGCUUAAUCGUUCUAUCCUAAGUAUAGCAUUAGUCGAAUGUAAUGAUAUUUAGUUGUAUAAAUAUGUUGGUGUAGCUCCUAUCUCAUGGAUUAUAUCUUGAUAAUACAUUUAGAACAUGAUUAAUAAACAUGAAUCUUAUCAUGUUGACUUUGGAUUUAACUUAAGAGAAAACGCUUAAGAUAACGAUCGGCUAUGUUAAUACCUGAUCUAGCCCUAGGGACGUGCGUAUGAUUUAUACAGUUCUAAUAUCAUCAUAUGAUAUGCCAGGUAUUUAGAUUUUAUUCACUCGUGCUGCGAGAUGCCAGUACUAUUUUUACAGUAGCGUCAGCCUGGUUCCGGACUUGUUGGGCCUCACGGGUGUUGGGCGCGGAGUUGCCGUGUCGGAGCCGCCGUCGUCGUACGGUGACCCUGGGUUCGCGUUUUGGAUCCGGUGCGCGUAAGAUUGUGCCGAAGCCGGUUAUUAGUUGGUUGUUAGACCAGGAGUGUCGGUUACUUGACUUUUGGUCUGUUUGAAGCCUGUUUGAGCACAAUCGACUACAGAACCGGCUGCUAUUCUCGGUGGUAGCCUCCACGUAUGCCACUCACGGAGGCGGCUCACUUUUUGCGUUAAGGCUUCGUCGCCGGUCUGCGACUUGCUCUCCACGGACCAAGUAAGGUUGUGAGGUACGGAUGUGUCAGCAACUAUGGCGCAGGCGAGGGUGUUCACUAGACCCAGGGCGGAUUCUGUACAGUCCGAUUGGAUGGAGUACAGAUUUGACUGAUUUCUACAGUGGUUAGUUUAGAGUAUGAUAGUUGUAGUGAUUACUAUCGUAAGUUGCAUUCAUGAUUUACUACUAUCCUGCUCCCUUUCUGUAGAUGUAUCUGGGGUGACGAGGUUGUUUAGGCCGGCACCCUGAGAAUACCGUGUUUACAGUAUAGUUGCUUCGACGCCCAUGUGAUACCUCUGUUAUAUAGACCCCCAGGUUUCGGCUGCUGAUCAUCUUCCCGAACGAUCGACGGCGAUAGCACCCUAACUUACGACUCGCUGAAGUUAGCUCCACCUCUACCAAUAUAUAUAUAUAUNNNNNNNNNNNNNNNNNNNNNNNNNNNNNNNNNNNNNNNNNNNNNNNNNNNNNNNNNNNNNNNNNNNNNNNNNNNNNNNNNNNNNNNNNNNNNNNNNNNNCGAAGGUAAGGAUAGAUAGAAGAAAAUAAGAUUAACACGACGCUAAAACUGGCCUACACCUUGAGUGGUAAGGCUCUUGAAAAACAUCGAGAAAAAGAGGGUGAGAACUACUAUUCUACUCAGUUCAGUGGCAAUUAACUGCAACCAGUCACUCCACUAGCCACAAAAUCACAGGCUACACGACGAUACAAUAAUCGCACUAAGCAUAAGGAGGUCGUAAAAUAACUCGCUGAAAGCAAAGCACAAUAGGACACUCGCUCAAUCCUACUCGCCCUCAAGUAAACACUGAAUGUCAACCAAAAUGUACUCUAUUCUACUCCUUCACAAUUAGUCCACUUCGCGCCACUAGUUUAAUGUUGUUCUAAUUUACUCAUAUAUCGACUGGUACGCGUGUUCUGUCACGUGCGAACCAAGUAUACCUACAUGCUCACCUAUGCUCCAAAAGCAUAUAAAUGUACAUCCACUACUAUAAGUUAUCAAGUAGUGAUCAUCUCACACUCAAAACGUCGUCGAUUUCAUUUCCAAUUUAGGAUACAAGGUAGUCAGCUUGCCGCCUAAGUGCCCUGUGGUAGCCAACUUACUCUUGGCAAUGUGUCUGUCAACUCCGACCGUAGCUUCUCAAUAGCCCGAGCGAACAUGGAGGUCGCAUAGGCACUCCGGAGUGCGGCUUGUAGACUAAAGCUGACAGCGAAGAGCAUUAACGAGAAGUAUACUACCCAUCUAAUAACAUGCAAACAUUAACCUACGGAGCAAAAGGGCAAACUCACUAGCUAAAUCUCCCCAAGCUCCGAAAAAGAGCUAGAACCUCUAAUCCAAGUCUAGGAGUUUCAAAACCAAUCAAUAAGCCUCAAAAGCCUAUUUAUCAAAAAGCCCCAAAACAACCCUAAAUCUCAUUUCUAGGGUUAAAACAAGCAAAGCUCAAUAGAUCUAGAGGAGGAACUUGCCACAAACCUUCUCGAUAGCUCCAAACCAAGCUCAAAACUUCUAGGGUUUGAAGAUUGAUCCACACAAGGCCUCCAAAAGCAAGUCCACAGCCUCCCAAAGGUUGGUAACAAGGAAAGAAUGGUGCUCCAGCAAAGCUCCUCUCCUUCUUCUUCUUCUCCUUCUCGCUCUCUUCUUCUCUCUCUAGAAUGCAAAGGGUUGAGAGAAAGGAUGAGAGCUGAGCGAGCACGAGGAGAGGCUGCCUGAUAGCCUCUAAGGUCAACAACAAUCCAGUUAGGUCAAAAACCCAAAAUUGCAACAGCCGGUCUGCAGUAUUUCGCCUAAGGAGACGACCGGUUCAUACUCCAGCGGGACCGUUCUCCGCUGCGAACCCCGAAAAAUCAGGCGUUUUCGGACCGGUACUCCAUUCCUGCACAACACCCGGAGCAGGCGCGGGACGGUCCUCGCUCUGCGCCCGCGACGCGUUGGAUUACGGUCCCUCACGCAUGACAGGGAACGGUUGCAAUCAGGCUACUCACACUGCUCAUUGAGGGGACCGGUCUCUCUCCUUCCAGGGAACCGGUCCCCGAGAGUAAAAACUCUCAUGCCUUGUCCAAAGUUCCCAGAUUCGCAACUUUUCGGGUCGGGAACAUUUUACAACCUCCACAACUGUGGGAAAAGCUCCGAAAUAACCACCAAAACAACUCGGCAACCGCUCCGCAAUUUGCCAAGGGUCAGUGUGUAAUCACAUCACUAGUGAACUCAAUCCUGUGGAAGCUCGCCGUAGGUUAGUCGGCCUGGCGCGGUCCAACACAAUGGGCCUUGUGGUAGUCCAACAUCCCCACUGUCAGCCCCCGAGCCCGCCUCUUUAGAUACAGGAUUCGGGCAAACGGCAACAGACCGCCGAACGGAGACAGGGUUUUCCCACUGCACAGCGGACCAGAGUUCCCUGGUACGUUCAACAGGCGGUACCGCAAUCAAUACAAGUACAAGAGGUUCCAAACCAGGAACAAUCUUUCAACAACGAUUGCGAUAAGAAGGUAUCAAUCAACUAACACAUCCUAUGUUAAAUUACAAUCAUUCCUACAUCAAAAUCAUUUUACAUCGCAUUUGUUUCAUUACAUUGAUUCCUCAACAACUUCCAAUACUACAAUCGAUUUCUAAACAUAAUAUUACAACAUCAAUUGUUUUUUCUUUUUCUUUUCGUUAUUACCCCUAAGAAGCCGACUCCAGGGGUGCUUGCUAUCGUGGUCUCCUGUGGUAGGGCAACUAACUAGCGGAGCUACGCCUUUCCUCGCGCCGCCCGCUGCCUCCGCGUGUGAACCUUACCCCAAAUGCCGGCCGUGUACCCCCAAAAACCAACAACACGGGGGCUGAGACUAUUGUCCAUAGUCCCCGUCAGGUGGGUACAGCCACCCAAACUGAAAAGCUCAACCCACCAGGUCCAAAGGAGGCACUGCAAAAAUGUUAAGUCCAACAGAUAUAUAGUAGCUAUCCACACAUAACACUGGCAUUAACUGUUCAUGCCCUCACAAUAUAUGCCAAAUUAUGCGCAACUCUUAGUCAUUCUUUACCAUUCAGCCUUCUCUUUAGAAUUUGCUGAUUCUUUAUCCAUUAGCCAUUCUUUACUCCUUUCAUUCUUUUCAUAUAUUAUCAUUUAUUCUUUUAAUAUUUAUAUACACUAUAUAUGAGAGAGCACUACAGCCUUAGGCGAAUUUACCUUAUGCCAUUCUUAUAAAAUUAAAAGAUCUAUCAAAUCAUUAUCACUCUUGUUCCUAGGUUAACAUUACCUUAGCCAACUAAAUGCCAACUCGCUCGUAUUGAUCUCAUAAAAACAUACACAUUUCUAUUAUAGAAUAUACUUUACAACACGAUAGGUUUCGCCACAUUAAACUGCUUCACAUUAUAAAAUCCAGUACAUCAAUAGGAACAUCACCGCUCACAGGAACCGUCCUUACGGGUCUACUCCAACCCCGGAUGCCAACAACUCCGGAGCGCAUCGCCCGAGGGGGAGCGACUGCCCUCCGAGCCACGGAACUCAUAGCCAAGCUAUGAGUCAAAUCUUAACUUCCUAAGAAUUGUAGAGUUGGAUCAUGGUUUUUUACCAACUAACUCUAGUGGUUCUUUACAUCACUUUAUGUCUGCCACCUACGCAACUCAUUUGUUCUUCUAACAUCUCUUUUUACUUUGCUAACCUCUACAAUCACGUUUUUCACAUUCCUUUACCUUUAAGCUUAUCUUUAGCUUUCACACUUCUUUAACUUUACACGUUUUUUAUGCCACAUUACAUUACAUUGUCUUUAGCCAUUAUCAAUUAUUCUUUUACAUCUACACUUGCUUUGCCUUGUCCUCAAGCCAUUAUCUUAGGUUCUUACAUUACAGUCAUCAUGCAUACACAUAAUUAUUUAGAUCUCCUUAAUCAUUCUAAUAAGCACGUGUACUCAACAUGCCCAAUGCAACAUUACAUUGAUUAUCAUCACAUUGUUUUACAUUAUCUUUAACCAUUAUCAGUUGUGUUCUUUUACAUCACAAUUUACUUCUUUGAUGUCAAACUAAAUCUAGUGGUCCACUUUACCAUUUCCGAUGCCACUCGAUCUAUGUUUCAACAUGCAUGAUAUUUUGUCAUCCCAUGGUUGGUAGUCAUUAUACUCUAGCAUUUUAUGCACUUCGUUAAACAUUUACUACAUGCAUUCUCGGUUAGUACAAAUCUCAUUACCUUAUCAUUUUGACAUCUUAUUUAGCAUUUCUGAUAAUAUGCACAUAUACAAUAAACAUCAACUCAAUCCAUUCAAUUUUUGGCAUCUAUCUUUACUCAUGCAUCUUUAAUUAGCAUACUUCUAUCAUGCAUUGAUCAAAUAGCAUACUUGUAAUCUUUAUCAUGCAUUCUAUAAAUAGAAUACUCUUAUCAUGCGUCAAUAGUAAACAUAGCUACACUUUUAGCAUCGGAAAGCCGACCCUAAUCGCUUCGGUGAGUCCAACACCACCCUCAUUUUUCGGCAUUCCCGAAUUGCUUGUCGACACCUUUGCAACUGGCCUCCCCGCGGCCACCCGUUUAACCCGGUUUGGCCCGAUCUCUUCACCCGCGACCACCCGAACGGCCUCCAAUUCACGAUCCGCAAAAUUAAAGGUCUUCCCGGUUAUGUGCCACGAAAGCUUUUCAAAUCCAUUUCUCAUGAAAUGUUACGAUAUCGCCUCGGCCCUCCCGGCGGACCCGAAGCCCUAAACGUCCGUUCUUUUAAAUAACUUUCGCAAACGGCUCGUCGGAACUUGCCGAAACGUCCUUCGCCAACUGCGUUCGUUUUUACUAGCAAAUUAGGUUUAUAUAGGGUCAAUUCAGAAUCAAAACAACCGUUACAUUUUACAGAAACCGCAUUCGGAGGCCCUAAUAUGCCUAUUAACGCUCAAAAUAAAAUCCAAAAAUUAAAAUGGAUCAACAUGGCUACACCAAAGCUCAUUAGGGCAUUUAAGUAAUACUUAAACGUUACAAGGAUUAAGCCAAAUCCCUAAAAGCUUACCUCAAUGUGAAACGCCGCCCGCGGACACAACACACUACCGCUCAACGGGCGCACGAAAGCUCAAUCCGCCCGCCUCGCAACCAGCGUUCGCAAGCAUAUUCUCCCAACCCCCCGCGAAUCUUUUGAGCGAGAAAGAUAUACGAGAAAUGAGAGAGAAAAUCUAGCAGAGGAGGAAUGAAGGUUUUUCUCCCCUCCCACUAGCCCACCAUGCGUGCGUGUGUGUGGUGCCUCGGGCUGAAGGAAGAGGCAGAAAGAAGCUUCAGCUUCUUUAUAAUACAACCGACACUAUUCCAACUCCAGGCAACUUCAAAUCUGAUAUCUCUUCGCCGGAGCUCCCUGUAUGCCGUCCUUGAAGCUCAAACUUGAACAGUCAGUUCGGUUUUACUUAACUUAAACAAGCUGGACGAUCACCUGGUCAGUUUCGACCGUUUGGUCACUGAAUAACUGUACGAAACUGCACAUAUUUACUCAGAUUAGCUUUCGGAUUCUGUAUUUCUCACUCCUACGGGUUCAGAAAAAUAUGAAAACCUUAAAUCUAGCCUCAUACAAAAUAUUUCUGACCCAUCUCCGCCGAAUUUUCAAAAUAAUUUCUCGGAAGACUGUGCAUCUUUCUGCUUAUUUUUCUGUCCCCCGUCUCGCAACAGAAAAAUUUUAUCAUCUUCUGUUUUCAAAUUCCGAUUUCAGCACAAGUCAAUCUGACUUAUGUUUUCAACUUCUCAAAAUUCAAUAAAAAUAGUAUUCCCACACUAUCUUUUUAUUUAUCUUUAUUUUCUUUACGCAAAGAUCUGGUAUACCGCAUUACACCCACUCUAGAAAUGAGCCUCCCCCACGGCAUUCCAUUUUGGCGCCUAAUCCCGCACUGGCGAGCAUGUGUCGCGAUGGCUAUCUCCGGAGUGCCGACUUGUAGGGAGCGACCCUUACAAGUAUGUGCGAAUGAGCACAAUGGCAUGCAAGCGAAUAAGUCCGUCUCAGGUCCCAGUGGUUCAUCACUGUUUCAUCGGAUCUAAAACUCGGAAUACAGCACAUGUCCCAAAGGCCUGCCUCUAUGUCAUCGUGUCUAACACACGGAAUAUAGUAACUGUCUCAAUGGCCUGUCUCUAUGUCAUCGUGUCUAAAACACGGAAUAUAGUAGAUUUCUAAUGGCCUAUCAUCAUGUCUCUAAGUUGCAGUUCAACAAUUUUCUAGUUCAAGUGCCCCUUUAUGACACUUUUGCUCACUAUGUCCCAAUAUGAAUAAUAAGUCUAAAGGCUUGUUGUUCUAAUCAUUUUCCACACGUGAAGCAUGAUCUUAUAUCAGUCAAUAGGACAUUAAACUCAUGCAUACUAACAAUGCAUAUACUUCUCUCUACAACAUAGAGUCAAUCUUUCAUGAUGCAUAACAUAGGGGUUUUAAGCACUCUAAAAUUCACAUAAAUUCCAUUUAACAUGAAUAUGCAUGUAUUUAUAGUAUACGAAAAUAUUUAACCACAUAGGAGGUAUUUCCUCCCAUUUCAAUGAAGCCAAACCCACCACAACUCUUACAACUCCUUCGUUUGCUCCGACGAAGGUAUCCACUAGUCUUCUAGCACCCUAGAGGUGUAGAAAUAAGAGUCAAAUGAACCUUACGAACAUCCCAAAGCUCAAACAUUAAGCAACUCAAGAAAAGGGUGAAAACUCACUGGAUGCGAAGGAAACUCUCUUGAUCUCCAAAUCGGAGCUAGAGUCCUUCAAGUCCAACCUAAAGAAAGGUUCUAAACCAAUCAAUUUGGUUCUUGAAGCCUCUAAUCAAAAAUCUCCAAUUCUAACCCUAAUAUCACAUUUCUAGGGUUUCAUCUAGUGAAAACUACCAAAACUUGAUCCAAGAGGGGGAUUAAGUAUACUAACCUCAUAAGAUGCUCAAAACUAAGCUCCAAGUCCUCUAGGAUUGAAGGUUGAUCCCCAAUCAAGCUCCAACCAAGAUCUCAAGCUUCUCUAAUGGUGGGAAACCCACAAAAAGCAAGAAGGAGAAGAAGAAAGAGAUCAAAACUAGCUAAAACCAAACAAAAAUGGAGAAGAAUCAAGGGAGAAGAGCUCACCUUUGUUCUCCACUGGUCUGGGGCUCAAAAGAGCCCCCCAAGGGCUGUGGUGGUGUUUAUAUAGAGAUGCAAGAAUUGCAAAAACACCCUUACCCGAAAAACUGCCCAUUCUGCACUGCGUACCGGUACACGGGUUUGUGUACCGGUACACAUCCCACGAACCAGUCCAACCUGAGCCUUGGGUUGGCGCACAGGCUACCAAAAUCGAUGGCUGUAUCGGUACAGCCAUCAACCUGUACAGGUACGCAGCCCUACCGAAAGCUACCCGAGAGCACACCAAUAAUCCAGCUUUUGGGUUUUGGUGCCAAGUUUUAAACAUCAAUUCUUGGGGCUCGAACCAUAGGUCGGAACACUGUCCACGACCCUCCACAAAGUGUGGAAAAGUUCGGAACACAAAUCAAACACUCGAACCUCGCUAUUUGCAAAGGUCCAGUGUGUUACACUACAAUAAGGGAAAAGAAUAUAAUGCUAAAUCCACUAUGUAAAAACAUAAAGUAAUACAACGGAUGUCCCAAAAUAAGUGCUAGAAAGGUACAUAGGUGGUCUCUCUAUACAUGGUGCAAAAUCUCUCUCUCUCUCUCUAAUACAAUAAAAGAAAGAGUAAAUCACCUAAGCUCAAAAGUAGCUCCUCUGUAUCUAGCUAGGCGACACCCUUGCCGCGAUCUCGUGCCUCCGCCGGUGCCGAAGGCUCUGAAAUAAAACCACAAAACAGGAGACGUGAGAACUAUUAAAUAAUAGUUCCCAGUGGGCAAUUACUGAUUUCAGUGAAAUGCACCACUAGGCCCAAAAAGCUAGAAAGGGGGUCAGUGUAUAAGUAUAGACAAAAGCAAUAAAUACAGCUAAUAAAUAAACAUGAAUACCUGCUACCACAAGAUAUUUCUACUUAGCAUGAUUUUGCUCAAGUAAUAAAAGGCUACACUAGCAUAAAUGUACGAAAGUAUCACUAGUAUGAUGUCCACAAGCUAAAUAGUAAAGAUGUCAUUUUUACUAUUCUAGUCAAUGUCCACAUGGCAUGAUGAAUGCUCAAAGUCAAAUCUGAAGAGACCCGCCCGAAGGCUGUCGGGCCCUGAGACCCACCGGUAGGCUGUCUGGCCGGUGCCGAGCUUAAUGGCGCCGCGGUAGUCAACAUCCCCACUCUAGGAAUGAGCCUUUCCCACGACAAUCCACUUCGGCGCCCAAUCCCACAUGGCGAAUAUGUAUCGCAAUGGCCAUCUCCGGAGUGCCGGCUUAUAGGGAGCGACCCUCACAAGCAUGUGCGAAUGAGCACAAUGGCAAGUAACCAAAAGAUUCGUCUCAAAUAUCAAGUCCUUAUGUCUAACAACAUGGAAUAUAUCACAUAUCUCAACGGCCUAUCUCUAAGUCAUCAUGUCUAAAACAUGGAAGUAAUAGAUAUCAAAGGCCUAUCGCUAUGUCUUAUUAUAGCAGUUUCAUAGUUUGCUAGUCCAAGUGCUCCUUUAUGACACUUUUUGUAACACACUGGACCUUUGCAAAUUGCGAGGUUCGAGUGAUUGGCUGUGUUCGGAGCUUUUCCAGAUUUUCUGGUGGGUCGUUGACUGUGUUCCGACCUAUGGCACGUGUCCCGAGAUUUGUGGUACAAAGCCUUGCACCAAAAUCCGAAAAAACGGGAUUUGGCUGACUCUCGGAUUAUGUUCUGGCGGGCUUGUACCGGUACAAGGUUGUGCUUGUACCGGUACAAGGUUGAUGGUUGUACCGGUACAGCCAUCGGAGCUUGUACCGGUACACAGCCACAGAGCCCAGCAACCCGAGCCUCGGGUUUGGAUUUCGUGGACCUUGUACCGGUACAAGGGCCCGUGUACCGGUACAAGGCGGCAGACUUCGCACAGUUCAAAACUGCAGGGGUGUUUUUGCUUUUGUAGCACUUCUAUUAGAACCCCCACGNUUUCUCUCCUUCUUUCUUCUUCUCCUUCUUUUCUUUUUCUCACGGUUAGAGAGAGAGAGCUAUGUGAGAGGGAGAGAAAGAGGCUAAGUGUGUGAGAGAGAGGCUGAGAGAGGGCUAAUAUCUCUCUAUUGUAAUAAAAUCCCAAAAGCCCCUCAACUUUUCCACUUUCCAAAACUGCCCUGCUGUUUCGGGCUCCUUGUACCGGCAUACGGUUUCUUAUACCGGUACAAGGCCUGGCAGACAGCCAAAACCGAGAGCAAACCCGAGAGCUCAGGUCUCGGUUUCGUCGGGUUUGUACCGGUACAAGCCCCUUGUACCGGUACAGCACCUGGAGCCCUCAAAAACCCGAGAGCUGCGAUGGCUGUACCGGUACAGCCAUCACCCUUGUACCGGUACAGCAGCUCCAGAAUGCUGUUUUCACUCUAUUUCGGCUCCACUUCGUGCCGAUUGAUGUCAAAACCAUUCCAAUACCUUUGAAACUUUUUGCUCUUCCAAACCUGUUGGAAUGCCGAAUGGAGCUUGUCCAAACCGUUCAAUCGCCCACUUUGGCCCUUUUGGCCAAAGUUAGCCAAUAUCGUCGAAUUUCGAUAUCUCACAUUCUCCACCCCUUAAAAGGAGUUUCGUCCUCGAAACAUCUAACUCGUAAAUCGAACUUAAACUCUUACCUCAAUUCUUAAAUAAGUGAGGAUGAUUCGCUUUCAUCUGGUCCUCGAGCUCCCAAGUGUCGCGAUCGUCGUGAUUGCUCCACCGGACUUUAACAUAGGAAAUUUCUCGAUUCCUUAGCUUACGCACUUCUCGAGCCAAAAUCUCUACCGGAAACUCUUCAUAACUCAUAUCAUCUUGAUGGAAAGGAAAUGUAUGCAUCUACAUGUGCAUUUAAUGUAGCGAAAAAAUAUUUUAAUUUAUAAAAUAUGAUCCAAUCAUGUAUACUUUAAUAUCAUAACAUUUAUGAUAUUAGUAUAUAUAUGUACCAAGAUCAUCUCGUGUGACACACAAAAUUAUUAUUUUAAUCUAAUUAGAAGAAGGGUUCGAAUUUCAACCUGUGCAAAUUACCGAAAUUAUUUCACGGUUGAGGUGGAUCUGAACUUCUUGUCCUUUGAGCCGCACAAGUGUUCGGCCUCUACGUGUAUCCACACAAGGCUGCUCCGGGAUCUGUACUUCACAUAAUCACAAUGUAAUCUCGAAACUCCUUUCGCGAUCUCUUGUGUCAAUGUGGAGAAAAAUUAAUCCUCAAAAUUGUGCUAGCAAUUUGAAGAGGAUUAACAAUAGAGACUAAUUAAUAUAAGAGGACCUCUCUCUUAUGAUUAAAAGAGAAUUCUAUAUAUGAUUAAAACUAUCUAUCUUUCUCUCGUACUUUAUUACAAAUCACCCACUUCAUUGAGGAGGAUUACGUCUCCUUUUAUAGGCUUAAAUGCCAUGAAUGAGUGGGAAUCAAACUCCUCUCAUUGUUCGCAAAGAGGAGAGAAGAAACUACCACUAUAAAUGAUGGGAAGUCAAUUCCUCUCAUUUAAUAGGUGGAAUGAAAAGAAACGAGUGGAGAAAGAGAAAAGAGGAGGUUUUCAUUUUCACCUUAUUAACUAUAUUAUUAAUAGGGUAAGUGAACGUAUGAGUUCAUUUGGUCUUCUCCCUUCCUCGUUUAAUUUCACUUUGUAACUUCCUCAAUUAAUCUUUAUUAAUUGAGGAGUUUAUGAGAGAAAGAUCGUAAACUCCUUUUAGUAACUUCAGCGCAAGUGCACCGUAUGCAACAAUUGCAUUAACUCUAAAAUUUUACAAAUUGGUCCUUCUUGCUAAUCAAUUUAGCAAGUAAAUUCUGGCUUUGCUACUUUAGCAAAAUAGUCUUUAUUAAUUCUCCAAGCACUAGAUCACACGCAGCCUUUAUUGUGUGUGACCACAUAGGUUCAAUUUUACCUGGUAGUGAGAUGUGACAGUAAACUCUUUUAAUGUCACCAUCGGAACUCUUCUCGAUGGACCAAAACAUUUUUGGCUCUCCCAACUGAGUGUAAUUAACUAUCUUAAUUAUUCUCAUAGGUCCCACAAUUCACGAGUGACACCUAGCAGUAUAUCGCGGCAAUCCAAGUAGAAUUAAUAAUAGACGGAACCUCUAGGUGUAGUUACCGUGUGAUAAAAUCCUUCUAUCACUAGUCCCGAUUGAGCCGAGGUUAUGGAUUACUCGUCAAACCCCUUACUCAAUCAUAUGUCUCAUCUGAUUAACAAUUAAUAUGGAAACUCUUUUCCAUAAAAUCAUACUGCCUUGGCCAAGGACUUUUAUAUCUUGUAAAACAGAUAGUAUAGGACAAUUACCUCUCUACCGAGGGUGACAGAUUCCAUCUUGACACACACCUACCUCCACGUAUGACCCACUGCAACCAACAUGUGUCGACUUAACCCAUGAUUAGGGUAUAAGUAUUUACACAGUCAAACUACAAUAACCCACAUGCAAGAUAACCGUGGUGCCUCAGGUCAAAGGAUUACUCACACUACUAUAGUAUGGAACAAUUCACUGACGAGUGAGUAGACAUCCAUGUGAUUGUUUAUAGUUGGUCACGCUUAGUGAAAUUGUUCUCUAACAUUCACCUGUAUACUUACCCUAGUGUCACCACACUAAUGACUUAAGACUCGUCAUCCCAUAAAGGAAGUACAGUAUACACUGAUCUAUUCGGAUUUACCACCGCCCUCGUGAUAAUCCUAUGAUCAGGAGCAUUUAAGAAUUAAUUACAGAAGAAUAUAUGUCUCAAAUUUCUAACUUCUUAGAAAGUUUAUUCUUCUACUAUUAAUUCUAUGGACGAUUCAUAAUUAUGCAUUUGGCAAUAAUAUGAAUUAAGAAUGCCAGAAUUAAUCAUAAAAGAAAAGUACACUGAUAUUAACCCUUUAAGUUAUGACAGGAUUGGCUUAUAGGACAUAUAACUAACAGUUCCGGCGGCUCAUAUAGCAACGCAUGCUCGGGGUCGUGAAUAUACUUGCGGAGGUUGGAGACGUGGAAGACAUUGUGCACACCCGCAAGCUUCGGGGGCAAUGCAAGUCGGGACGCCACCGUCCCAAUUCGCUCCAAGAUCUCGUAGGGGCCAAUGUAACGAGGGCUUAGCUUUCCUCACACCCCAAACCGCUUCACACCUCGCAUCGGUGAAACCUUCAGAAAUACGCGGUCAUCCACUGCGUACUCUAUAUCUCGCCGGCGUCUAUCCGCAUAGCUUUGCUGUCUCGAUUGCGCCGUGAGCAAUCUUUUGCGAGCAAGGUGGACUUUCUUUUCCGCUUCUCGCAACACAUCUAGGCCGAACUCCGCACGCUCACCUACAUUGCUCCAGUGUAUAGGGGAUCGACACGUCCGCCCAUAGAGGGCCUCAAACGGUGCCAUCUCCACACUAGCAUGAUAACUAUUAUUGUAGGCGAAUUCGGCCAUCGAUAGGUGGUCACACCAACUUUCUUUAUAGUCGAUGACACACGCUCGCAACAUAUCCUCCAGAGUUUGAAUAGUUCUCUCUGUUUGCCUAUCGGUCUGAGGAUGAAACGCGGUGCUAAAGUCGAGCCGUGUGCCAAGGGCUUCCUGCAGGCUCUUCCAGAAAUGCGAAGUGAACCGGGGGUCACGAUCCGACAAGAUCGAUUUCGGCACACCAUGCAGUCUCACUAUCUCGUCAAGGUAUACCUGCGCUAACUUGUCACCCGACCACGUGGUGUGGAUCGACAAGAAGUGAGCCGACUUCGUCAAUCGGUCCACAAUUAUCCAAAUUGCAUCGUGGCCGCCCUUUGAGCGAGGAAAGCCGACUACGAAGUUCAUCGAUAUAUCCUCCCAUUUCCAAACGGGGAUUGGUAGGCUGUGAAGCUUUCCCGCUGGGAAUCGAUGCUCAGCCUUCACCUGUUGGCAUGUUAGGCACUUCGCCACAAAGCGUCCGAUGUCGCCUUUCAUUUCCGGCCACCAGUAGAGUAUUUUUAGUCCUUGAUACAUCUUGGUGCCGCCCGAGUGAUUAGCAUACGGGGAACAAUGCGACUCCUGAAGUAUAAGCUUGCGAAGCUCCUCAUCAUCUAGUACACACAUCCGGUUCCGAAACCGAAGCGUACCAUCGGCGUCUACAUUGAACUCGCCGCCAUGACCUUCCUCGAUAUUUCGCCGCACCUUUUGGAGUUCUGGGUCCGCAGGUUGCAGAUCUUUGAUCCUUUCCAACAAGAUCGGUUGGACAACGAGUGCCAUCAACUGAGUCGGGACCUUGGAAGCGACCACUUCAAGGUCCAAUCGCUCCAUAUCCAGCCAUAGGGGUGUUUGCUGGGUAACGGCAAAAGCGAGGUUCUUCGCCGUCUUCCUACUCAGCGCAUCCGCGACCACAUUUGCCUUCCCGGGGUGGUAAAGGAUAUCAACAUCAUAAUCCUUCAAUAGCUCCAACCACCGCCGCUGACGCAUAUUGAGCUCUUUCUGUGUGAACAGAUACUUCAAGCUCUUAUGGUCGGUGUAGAUCUCGCAAUGAGCACCAUAUAAAUAAUGUCUCCAAAGCUUCAAGGCAAAUAUCACCGCCGCCAACUCUAGAUCGUGAAUGGGGUAGUUCUUUUCAUAGCUCUUCAGCUGACGGGAUGCAUAAGCAAUAACCUUCCCGCCCUGCAUCAACACACACCCCAAGCCCAGAUAAGAAGCAUCACUGUAGACGACGUAGUCCUGCCCCUGCACCGGUAAAGCGAGUACCGGAGUCGAAGUUAACCUUUGUUUCAACUCUUUAAAACUCCGGUCACACUCGUCGCUCCAAACAAACUUGGUGCCCUUUUGUGUCAAGCGGGUAAGUGGAGUCACAAUCUUUGAGAACCCCUCCACAAACCGUCGAUAAUAACCGGCUAGGCCCAUAAAACUACGGACCUCGGUAACAUUCGUCGGGCGCGGCCAAUUCUCAAUAGCCUCCACUUUCCUCGGGUCAACUGAAACACCACCCUCGGAAAUAACAUGCCCGAGAAAUGCAAGCUCCUUGAGCCAGAAGUCGCACUUCUUCAGCUUUGCGUACAACUUCUUCUCCCGAAGGAUUUGAAGUACCGUGCGCAAAUGCUCCGCGUGCUCCUCGUCGCUACGCGAAUAUACCAAAAUGUCGUCUAUGAAGACCACUACAAAUCGGUCCAAGCAUUCCUGGAACACUCGGUUCAUCAAGCUCAUGAACGCUGCCGGGGCAUUUGUAAGCCCAAACGGCAUCACCGUGAAUUCGUAGUGUCCAUAACGGGUGCGAAACGCCGUCUUCUGAACAUCUUCCGGCUUGAUCUUUAACUGGUGAUAGCCGGAUUGAAGGUCGAUCUUAGAAUACACUCGCGACCCCUGCAACUGAUCAAACAAGUCAUCAAUACGGGGUGGCGGGUACUUGUUUUUCACCGUGACCUUGUUCAACUCGCGGUAAUCCACGCAGAGUCGAAAAUAUCCAUAUUUCUUGCGCACAAAUAAUACCGGGGCACCCCACGGCGAAACGCUCGGCCUAAUGAAUUCUUUGUCGAGAAGAUCCUGCAAUUGAUCUCUUAACUCCCUUAGCUCGGCCGGCGCCAUGCAAUACGAGGCCUUAGAAAUCGGUGCGGUGCCGGGAACCUAGUCAAUCAUGAACUUGAUCUCCCGGUCCGGCGUCAUACCCGGUAACUCUGCGGGAAACACGUCGGGGAACUCCCGCACAACUGCCAACUCCUCGAGGGUUGGAACCGCUCGAUCAAUCUCCACAACGGUCGCCAAAUAAGCUGUGCAACCGCUGUUCACCAGCUUCCUCGCUCUAGUCACCGAUACCGUCGCGGCGAAGCACGAGCUCUUGCAAGCUCGAUAGGUGAACUCUUCUUGACCCGGCUCCCAAAAUGUGAUAACUCGAGUCGGGCAAUCAAUCGACACAUAGUACUUCGAUAGCCAAUCCAUGCCCAAUAUGACAUCGAACUCCUUCAACCUUUUGAGCACCAACAAGUCGAUCGGUAUAACCCAGUCAUUCACUUGCACUGGACAUGCUAAGCAUCGCUUCCUAACAAAAAAGGAUCGCCCGGGGGCCCUCAACAUGCCAAACAUGCUCCCCAAGACGAUACUCGAUAUCAGGCGCUCGUGCAAAUGAUCGGCUAAUGAAUGAGUGUGAUGCGCCUGUAUCAAAUAGAGCUCUAGCUCGAACAUCUUUAACCAAAAUUAUACCUGCCACAAUGUUGCGCUCGCCGGCCUCAAAAGGCUCCUCAAUGAGCACGGGUGCAGCAUACAUCCUCCCGCUCGGCGCAGAUCGUGCAGGCUCAGGUUGGCGUGGCGCCGCCGCUCGCCCUGUAGAUACUGCAGGAAGGGGCAGAGCAUAGCGAGCUAGAACCGCCGGGGUCGAUGCAGUCGACAUAGCGGGCAAAGCUCCUCCCUGAGGACAGUCGNCAAUUGAUCUCUCAACUUCCUUAGCUCGGCCGGCGCCAUGCGAUACGGGGCCUUAGAAAUCGGUGCGGUGCCGGGAACCAAGUCAAUCAUGAACUCGAUCUUCCGGUCCGGCGGCAUACCCGGUAACUCCGCGGGAAACACGUCGGGGAGCUCCCGCACAACUGCCAACUCCUCGAGGGUUGGAAUUGCUCGAUCAAUCUCCACAACGGUCGCCAAAUAAGCUGUGCAACCGCUGUUCACCAGCUUCCUCGCUCUAGUCGCCGAUACCGUCGCGGCGAAGCACGAGCUCUUGCAAGCUCGAUAAGUGAACUCUUCUUGACCCGGCUCCCGAAAUGUGAUAACUCGAGUCGGGCAAUCGAUCGACACAUAGUACUUCGAGAGCCAAUCCAUGCCCAGUAUGACAUCAAACUCCUUCAACCUUUUGAGCACCAACAAGUCGAUCGGUAUAACCUAGUCAUUCACUUGCACUGGACAUGCCAAGCAUUGCUUCCUAACAAAAAAGGAUCGCCCGGGCCCCUCAACAUGCCAAACAUGCUUCCCAAGACGAUACUCAAUAUCAUGCGCUUGUGCAAAUGAUCGACUAAUAAAUGAGUGUGAUACGCCUGUAUCAAAUAGAGCUCUAGCUCGAACAUCUUUAACCAAAAUUAUACCUGCCACAACGUUGCGCUCGCCGGCCUCAGAAGGCUCCUCAACAUGCACGGGUGCAGCAUACAACCUCCCGCUCGGCGCUGAUCGUGCAGGCUCUGGUUGGCGUGGCGCCCCGCUCGCCCAGUAGAUACUGCAGGAGGGGGCAGAGCAUAGCGAGCUGGAACCGCCGGGGCCGAUGUAGUCGACAUAGCGGGCAAAGCUCCUCCCUGAGGACAGUCGCGGAUGACAUGCCCCGCUUGCCCGCACUUGAAGCACCUCCCACGGCGAUGCUCACAUACACCCGGUCGGUGGUCUUCGCCGCAAAAGAUGCAUCGCUCUGCACCACGACCCUUGGGCUGAGAGCGUGGAUACUUCGGGGGCCUCUUGGAGCUAGACUGUCCCCCCGAGCCACCGCCUUGCCUCUUCUUGCCUUUAUCCUUGUCGAACGCCUUACGGUCCUCACGCUCGCAAGCGUUCCCGUGCUCGACCCAUAAUGCGCUGUCUAAUGCCCCCGCCAAAGUGUGGAACUUGAAGGCAUGCACCAACUUGAAUACUCCGGGCCGGAGUCCUCGAACAAAACAAUCCGCCCGGUCCUGCUCUGUCGUCGCCACGUCCGGGACACAACUCAGGAGAUGGGUGAACUCCCNNNNNNNNNNNNNNNNNNNNNNNNNNNNNNNNNNNNNNNNNNNNNNNNNNNNNNNNNNNNNNNNNNNNNNNNNNNNNNNNNNNNNNNNNNNNNNNNNNNNNNNNNNNNNNNNNNNNNNNNNNNNNNNNNNNNNNNNNNNNNNNNNNNNNNNNNNNNNNNNNNNNNNNNNNNNNNNNNNNNNNNNNNNNNNNNNNNNNNNNNNNNNNNNNNNNNNNNNNNNNNNNNNNNNNNNNNNNNNNNNNNNNNNNNNNNNNNNNNNNNNNNNNNNNNNNNNNNNNNNNNNNNNNNNNNNNNNNNNNNNNNNNNNNNNNNNNNNNNNNNNNNNNNNNNNNNNNNNNNNNNNNNNNNNNNNNNNNNNNNNNNNNNNNNNNNNNNNNNNNNNNNNNNNNNNNNNNNNNNNNNNNNNNNNNNNNNNNNNNNNNNNNNNNNNNNNNNNNNNNNNNNNNNNNNNNNNNNNNNNNNNNNNNNNNNNNNNNNNNNNNNNNNNNNNNNNNNNNNNNNNNNNNNNNNNNNNNNNNNNNNNNNNNNNNNNNNNNNNNNNNNNNNNNNNNNNNNNNNNNNNNNNNNNNNNNNNNNNNNNNNNNNNNNNNNNNNNNNNNNNNNNNNNNNNNNNNNNNNNNNNNNNNNNNNNNNNNNNNNNNNNNNNNNNNNNNNNNNNNNNNNNNNNNNNNNNNNNNNNNNNNNNNNNNNNNNNNNNNNNNNNNNNNNNNNNNNNNNNNNNNNNNNNNNNNNNNNNNNNNNNNNNNNNNNNNNNNNNNNNNNNNNNNNNNNNNNNNNNNNNNNNNNNNNNNNNNNNNNNNNNNNNNNNNNNNNNNNNNNNNNNNNNNNNNNNNNNNNNNNNNNNNNNNNNNNNNNNNNNNNNNNNNNNNNNNNNNNNNNNNNNNNNNNNNNNNNNNNNNNNNNNNNNNNNNNNNNNNNNNNNNNNNNNNNNNNNNNNNNNNNNNNNNNNNNNNNNNNNNNNNNNNNNNNNNNNNNNNNNNNNNNNNNNNNNNNNNNNNNNNNNNNNNNNNNNNNNNNNNNNNNNNNNNCCUACACAGAGAACAAGCCAAAACGCCAACAGUCGACACUGGAAUCAGCAGCAGCAGCAGAGAAGCUCGAUAAUGGAGUAGUUUGAAGUAACCGAAGGGAUUUCGGUGGCCUACUCACCUCGACAACCGCCCUGGGAGCAGCACCACGUCGAGGAUGGUAAGGGACAGCAGUCGCCCGGCCUCCUCGCAGCGUCACAAUGUUGAAAGCACCCUCGAUCCGCUCCGCGGCGCGUCGUCGACGAAGCUUGAGCUUCUCCCUUGAGCUCCUCCACCACCUCUACUCAGCCAAGGGGGAAGAGGAAGAAGCACAGCAGAGGAGGAAGAAGCCCUCCCCCCUCUCUCCUCCCUGCUCUUAAGGUAAGGGGAAAAGUGGUGACAAGACUAGAGAGGAAAAAGUCAAACAGCACCAUACCUGUCAAAGUGUACCGGUACAGCUCACUGAAAAUCUGCUAUUUCGCAGAUCUUCAAGAUACACGCUGCUCUCAAGUUCCCACAAGGCCCGUUUGGCGUCCACUUCGCGCCAACGCGACCCGGACUUGACCCGACACUCUCCAGAGCUGUCGACAAGCCUCAGCUAAAAUUUCCGGUCUCUACAUGGGGUGUGACAACUACGAAUAGUUUCCAGUGGGUUCGACCGCCGACUCCACCGAUCUACCCACUAGGUCUUAAGCAGGCAUAGAGAGAUAUAUAUAUGCAAUAUAUAUAAAGCUAAACUGAACUGAAAGCGGGUAUGUAAAACAGGUCUAUCAAGCUAUACCUCAAUCUGAUAUCAUGGAUGCAUGAACAAUAAAUAAAGCUGGGAAAGUAAACAACUAUGAACAACAACAACAACUAUGAAAGCUAGUUAUCAUGAGCAAUAAUAAUGAGUAUGACUCAAUAGGUAACCAAAUCUCAAGGUGAACUUGUGGUUCACAAGCAUAACUCACGUGUAAAUCUCAUAGGGAAAGUCUCACUGAACUAUUCUCCGAGACCGCCUGCGGACAACACACUGACCGUGCAGACAGCACACUGACUGUCUCCCUAGUGACCAACCUCCGGAGUGCACAGCUUGUGGGGAGCGACCUCUCCAAGUGCAGACAGGCUAUGUGAGCAGGAUCAACUCACGAACAGCAGCAAUCUACCCUCUAAGGAUAAUCUCAUUAUGGAAUCAAGGUAUUCUUGUACCCAAUCUCAUAGUGUCUCAACUACACUAAUGUUCUCAUAGCAAGGUCAUUAACAAUCAUAUGCCACUCAUCAUAGUUUUCUAACUAGAUGCCACUCGUCAUUUAGACUCAUUAUCAACACUAGUUACAUCAUACUAGUUCUUUAGCAACAUAAGCAUUAAUCAUCUCAUAUAGGGUCUAGGUCUUUAUCAUAGAGUUUUCAUCAUAUAAUCAUCAUGCAUGCUAGAUUAUGAACCAACCAAGCAAGAUACAUUAAGCUACUAGCAUGUAAUUAUAAGCAACAAUCCAUCUCUAGCCCUAUAUGAAUAUGCACAAUAUGCAAUUAGAUCAACUUAUAAAACUUAGACAUAGAAGGUAGUCCGAUUGGUUCGGGAUGGUCACCACCCACCUUGUGGUAGUACCGUAGAGCUAAGAAACUCGGCGUCGCAGUCCACGUGCGCCGCUUCAACACCUUGGGUCAAAACGAACCCUAGAGCACCCAAAUCGGCUAUAACUCCGCACUCGCUCGACGGAUCGACGAACCGUGUUCGCCUACGCGUUUGGGAGCAUAGGAAUUAGGUUUCUAACCCACCAAAAGAGAUCAAAACCUUACAUUUCCAAAAAUCCCAAAAUCAAGCCCUAGGUUUAGCACACCCAUGGGAAGCAAUGGUUUCUAGCUUCAUUGUGAGCUAAAUCCAUAUUCUCUAAGCUCAUUAGGUUCCAUUUGAACCAUCAAAACCAACAAAAACCUCCCAAAACCCUAGAUUCACAAGUUAGGGUUGAGGCUUACCUCUAGGGUUUGCUCCAAAGCAAGCCCUAGCUUGAGAAUGAGGAGGGAGAGAGCUUCACUUUCCUCUCCUUGAUCUUCUCCUUCUUUUUCUUCUUCUCUUCUCCUUCUUUCUCUCAUUCUUUCUUCUUCUUCUUCUUCUUGCGGUUAGAGAGAGAGAGAGCUAAGUGAGAGGGAGAGAGGCUGAGAGAGAGGGGUAUUAUAACCCUCUAAUGUAACAAUAUCUCAAAAAGCCCCUCUAUUUUCUGUUUUUCCAAAACAGCCCUGCUGUUCGUGUGCCCUUGUACCGGUACACGAUUUUUUGUACCGGUACGAGGCCUGGGUGACAGCCAGAUCGAGCGCAACCCAAGAGCUCGGGUUCUCGGUUUCGACGGGUUUGUAUCGGUACAAGCCCUUUGUACCGGUACAGCACCUGGAGCCCUCCAAAACCCGAGAGCUGCGAUGGCUGUACCGGUACAACCAUCACCCUUGUACCGGUACAGCAGCUCCAGAAUGCUGUUUUCACUCUGUUUCGGCUCCACUUCGCGCCGAUCGAUGUCAAAACCAUUCCAACACCUUUNGUACCGGUACAGCAGCUCCAGAAUGCUGUUUUCACUCUGUUUCGGCUCCACUUCGCGCCGAUCGAUGUCAAAACCAUUCCAACACCUUUAGAACUCAUUUUUGCUCUUUCAAACUUGUUGGAAUGCCGAAUGGAACUUGUCCAAACCGUUUAAUCGCCCUUUUUUAGGCCAAAGUUAGCCAAUAUCGUCGAAUUUCGAUAUCUCACAUCCGCCACAAAUACAGAGAGUUCACCGAUCACACGGACAGAGUCUCCCCUAUAUUUGCACGGCGUCGCACAAGUAUAACAAGUAAACUGGAUAAAACCACAACUUAAUGAAUAUAGAAACAACUAUACAAUCAUUCAUUCACCAUUCACAUCACAGUUAUACAUUCAAUAUUUAAACAUAAAUCUACAUCUAUCAGUUAAAACGUUUCCAACCCAGAAAUAGAUUUUGAAAUACUAAGAUACAAAAUCCACAGAAAACCUUUUAAAAACGGUUCCCUACACGGGAACUUUUAUCUUUUAGAAACGCUACCACGAGGGGUAGAAAAUCAUUCAACAUUUGAAAUCCACAAAUCUUUUUUAUUAUAUUAUAAAUCCAACUGAAAACUCAGAUAUUCAAAUAAUAUAACAAAACUGAACCAUGAUAUCACGCCCCGGGACCGGCGGAGGCCCUCCCGGUAGCGUGCCCAGACCCGCCAUAUGUCUACACAUAUAAGGCGUCUACAAUAAAAGUGGAAGUAAAAGCAAGUAAUAGAACAAAUAGAAGAAGUGAAAUAAUGAGCAGCUAAUGAUAUCAGAGCGAGUAAAGUUCUAACAUCUACACCAAGGUAAAGAAGUAAAGCUAGACAAUAAAAGAAUUCAUGAGUAGUACAAUAUCUGUCUCAAAAGUACAAAAACGGUGGUCUCUAGUACACUGGUAGAACUCUCAACCUCUCGCAAAAGGAAAUAAAAAUCGAGAGGUAGACCACCUAGCAACUCGUCCUCGAAGGAAGCUAGCUCGAAGCAACUCCCUUCCCGCGAUCCCUGGCCUCACCCUGAGUGGAAGGCUCUGUAAAACAUCGAGAAAAAGAGGGCAUGAGAACUAUAAUUUAUAGUUCCCAGUGGGCAAUUACUGACCUCAGCUCAAUGCACCACUAGGCCCCAAAAGAAGAGGGUAAGUACAAUAAUAAUAGCAAUAAAUAGCGAACACGAAACUGCUGAAGGAAGCAUGAAUGAAAUGCUAUGCUACUAUGUCUCCAAUAAGCAUGAUGUUAUGGUAAUGUACAUCUACGCUAUCAUAAGGUAAUAUAUCCGAUGCAUACUAAUAUGUCUCAACAUAAAAAGCAAGUAAACCUCACGAUGCCAUAUGUCAAUGCAUAAGGGUAAACUUUAUCCAAACAACCGAGUAUGCUACGAUGCAAUAAUGAAAUUGGCAAGUAUACUAAAUGUACCAAUGCUAUAUCAUAAGCGUGUCCAAGUAAUCCAACUACUAAUCCUAUCUAGUAGUGAUUGUUCAUAUUCAACACCGUGUCGAUUUCCAUUUCCAAUUAAGGACCUACCAAAGGUAGUCCAGCUUGUGCCGCCUAAGUGCCUGUGGUAGCCCGACAUUCCUACUCUUGGAAUGUGUCUGUCCCACUCGGCCCCGUAGGCUUCUCAAUACCGCACGAGCGAACGUAGUCGCGUAGGCUAACUCCGGAGUGCCGGCUUGUAGGGAGCGACCCUCACAAGCAUGUGCGAAUGAGCACAAAUGGCAAGCAAGCAUAGUCCAAGUCUCAAAUAUCCAAUCCUCAUGUCUCUAACAUGGUAUCAUAACUAGCAUCCCGAAGAUCUAGUCUAAGUCACAAUGUGAAGUUUUAGCAUUUGCUACGCCAAAUGCCCCUUGAUGACACUUAGGCAAUUUGAUGUUCAACAAGUUUUCCAAAUCCCUCAAUGGCCCUAUCCACUAGGUUCUCACAUGUCCCGAGCUCAAUGCCGCUUUAUGACAUUAGCUCUCUAGUUCACAUACCUCCUAAAUGGCAAUCUUGUCAUCUUUCAUGUCGCAAGUAACCUCAAGUUUAAAUGCAUGAUUCCGAACUCAUUUAUACUAUAGGAGCAUGAAACCAAGUCUCAUAGAGAAUGCUAAAUGCAACCAAGGAUCUCCCAAGCAACUCUCUACUACUUAGAGGUCUAAAAUUUCAUCAUAUAUAACACAUGCAUUUUAAGCAUUCUAAAAAUCAUAAUAAAUACAUUUGAUAUGAACAUGCAUGCUUUUUCAAUUUACGGAACAUAAAUAACCAUAUAUGAGAAUUUCUCAUAUGUAGGCUAGGUCAAACCCACCGAACCGUCGCGUAGGGUCUCUAUCCGCCGAACAAAGUUGUCCCCGAGUCUCAAAAUACCCUAAAAGUAUUGAGCGACAAGAUAUACGGGCAUUACGAUCAUCUAUGAGAUCACACUUUAACAAUUUUAGCAAAAAGGCUAAAACUCACCUAAUGAGUGGAAGAUCUCUCUCAAGCUCCAAAAGAGAGCUAAAUCCCUUCCAAUCUAUCCUAGAGGAAGGUUCUAAUCCAAUCAAUCAAGCUCCAAAAGCCCUAAAAUCAAAACGCCCAAAAUAAGCCCUAAAUCUCCAAUCUAGGGUUUCAUCUAGUAUAAAGCUUCAAAACCAAAAUCUAGAGGGAGAGAAUAAGCUACCAACCUCUAAGAAGCUUCCAACAAGGUUCAAAGUCCUCAAGGUCCAAGUAUCUCUCCCCCAACAAGCUCCAAGCCCAAGCUCUAAUGGUGGAAAAGCCUCCAAUACCCAAAAAGGAGCAAAAAGAGGUGUUUAAACUCUAAAAAUUCAAGCAAAACCAAGGAAAAGGAAUAAGGAGGUGUGGAGAGCUCCCUUACCUUCCUCCUUGCUGGUGCCAAGCUCAGGAAAGACCCCUAGGGCGUGGGGGUACUAAUAGAGAUGCCACAAAUGCGAAAAACCCACUGCAGUUCAAACUGCUCAGAUUCUGCCAAAGUGUACCGGUACACGGGAAAGUGUACCGGUACACAUCCUACGAAAAUGCAAACCCAAGGCUCGAGUUUGAAAUCUGCCACAAGUGUACCGGUACGACCAUCAAGGGUGUACCGGUACAAAAUGUGUACCGGUACAACCAUCGACCUGUCACCGGUUACACCUAGUGCAGAAUGCAAUCCGAGGGUUGGCUAAGUCCAACUCUUUAGUGAGCUUAGCGCUACACAAAAUACUACAAUUCUCGGAAUGCGAGCCAUAGGUCGGAACACUGUCAACGACUCACCAGAAAGUCUGGAAAAACUCGGGACACUGACCAAACACUCGAACUCCGCAGUUUGCAAAGGCACAGUGCGUCACACAUAAUAUGUCUAAGUUGUUUAUUCAAGCAUGAAGGGUAAAGAAAUAACUGACACGGGACGGAGCUCUAUCGUACGCUAGACACGCUCCUCACCAGCUGUCCCACUCGGACCUGCGACGUCACCUGUAAUGGGGGCGGGGGGUGAGAACAUGUAAACAUGUCUCCCCUCCCAAUGGGUACCGCAAGCCGACGAGAGCGAGGAGUACUCACUAGUCACGGAGAUAAACAAGGAUAUGGAUAAUGGUAGUACAGUAGCUAAGAUAAACAAGUAAUGAAAUGUAUAUAAAUAAACCACUACAGCUACUGUAUGCAUGCAUCAACGGGACAAUCAGUCCAAAAGUACCCAAUCUGAAACCAAUCCUCUCUUGGUCCGCACCGCAAACCUCAAGCCAGUGCCACUACUACUCUACCAUGCAUAUAACCCCUCUAGGGCUCACGAGUUGACACCUGCAACCACUUUUCCGAAAAAAAACACCCCGUCUGGUGGAUCAGACCGCCAGUGUUCGUGAAAUGCGACGAGUAUCAGGCGAUCAAUGCAAUAUGCUCAAUGAUCAACCGUCGGCAACUAGCCGACAAUCCUGCCCCCCAGGGCACACCAACCACAUGGGUCAUCAUGUAAUCCAAUCAACCAACCAGGUCAUAAGUAUAGGAAAUGUAGCGUCGACGAACCAGGUCAUGGAGAUCACAUAGGAGAACAGACCAACCAAAUCAUAGAUGCAAAUAGGAGAACCGACCAACCAGGUCGCAGAUGCAAAUAGAACCGACCAACCCGGUCACAGAUGCAAAUAGGAGAACCGACCAACCAGGUCACGGAUAUCAUAUACAGAUAAAGUUUACUCUACUCCUACACAUGAUACUACACCUGGCAACAACUAAGUAGAGUAAAUAAGGAAAUAGUAUGGGUGCAAGGCUCAACAUGUAUAAGGUAACUGAUAUAAACAACAAGGGUAAAGGAAACGUCACCGAGCGUGCACCACUGUACAGACUUCGGAUUGAAGUACCCACCUGUACGUGUCUGACGAAAAUCUCUCGACUGUGAAGAUGGUGCAACCGAACCUACGAAAGGUCCACCAGGUUAGAACCUAACCCACUAACACAUAUCGCUAACUCACAAUCCCACAGUCAUAGCCCCUUGGGAAUCGGUUUUCCAAAAUUGAUUGCCGAACUCACUAGAAGUCACAAAAAAAACUGCACCGGGACUCCGCCGGGACCCACGAACCGACCCGGCACUACCUAACUCAUCAUAUGAGUUGCUCGCUGCCGCUAAACACCUAUUUUAGUGUGACAAGGCAGCAAAGACACUAACUCGAUGCGGAACGAUUAUCGUCGGAUAAUCGUUCCGAUUCGGAUUUCUGGAAGUGUUUAUUUCGACACCGGAACCCGCCGUGGCUCACCCGUCGUUUCUGAACCCUCGAAACGACGCGGGUGAUAAGCCAACAAGGCUUAGCGACGCUACAAUCAACCACGAGGCACCGGCGGAUGAAGUCCGAAUCGAAAACGCGUUCUAUCGGCGGAUUUCGCCGAAAAACGCUCCGGAAAUCACUUUUAGAUUUCUGCAAAGGCUUGGGGCCGUGGACGAUCAGUCCAAAGGUUACCCUCAGCCUACCCUUACUGCCAACAGCAGCUACAUUGAAGCAAAAACCCUAAAACCCCUUACCGAUACAUGAAAUCACAUCAUUUUAUGUGAUUUCUAGGCUUUUCUAGACCGUGCACGCAAACCAGAGAUCGAUUAGGCAAACCGUCGCGCUUGCUGAUAGGUUUCAACGUGUCGGAGGCCGUGCUCACCUUUCGGAGCACUGCCGGCCACUGUGGCAUGCGCAUGAGCGACAUGAAACUCUGUGAAACAGCGCGCAUAGCGCUAAGAUUGCCAUUAAUGCACAAUCCAGGGCAUCUCUGUCCCUGUCGGACGUGAGCAAGAUAUUCAGCACGUGUUGUAGAUCAUCGUGCUCACUUCCCAAAGUUCAGGAGGCUAAUCGGAUCACCGGAAAGGUGACCGAAAUCUCAGAAUUCAAUGCUGGAACAUAAAACAACCUGACCGGAACCGGGGAGAGCUAGGGUUGGUCGCCGGCGGCCGGACGGCGGGCGGUCCAGCCAGGGGAGGGCGCGGCCGGUUGGUGAGGUCCGUGGCACCUGCUGGCCGGCGGCUGGAGGCGUCCGUGUCACGCAUAUAUAUAUAUAUAUAUAGAAAAUGACUUGGUCCAAGGGUAUUAUCCUAACUUCACAAAUCUAAAAGCACCAAGUCAUAAUAUAUAGGGGCAAUUUCAUAGAUACCCCUUCCAAAACUUAAAAUAUCAUGUAUGCCUUUCUAAAGUUUAAAAUAUCACAUAUACCCCUGUAAACAUCGAAAAUUAACAUCAAUACCCCUACUGUUAGUUGUUCUAACUUUACCAUAGUUAUUAAAUGGUUAGAGAUGGGUUAACUUUUAAUAUGACCAGUUUACCCUCAGCUCCCUUAAGUAAAAAUGUAUGGAGAACCCCUCAACUAUAUGUCGUUUUAAAACAGCUUCCUCAACUUUUAUAUUUUAGUUGACAUCCCAUUAAUUUUUAGUUUUUAAAAUAUUAACUAAUUUUAGUACAUGAAAAAUGAGAAUUUUGUCAAGUUUUUUUUGAUGAUUUCACUAAAUUUAGUGGCGCUAUUUAUAUUUUUAGCAAAUAAAUAACUAUGUAUAAAAAUUUAAAUAAAAAACAAAGUUGAGGAUUUUUUUCGAUCUUUCUUUAAUCUUGGAAGCUUCCAAAAUAUUUUAACCAAAAUUAUUCACGAUAAUUUUAUCUGUAUUAAAUGCAUUAAAAAACUGAAAUAUAAUAUAUUUUAGCUUUUGAACAAAACUCUCUCUCUUUUUUUUCAAUCGACAAAAAAAAUGCAUGCAUAUAGUUUUGUGAUUUAUUUUUGCUUAAAUAGAAAAAANNNNNNNNNNNNNNNNNNNNNNNNNNNNNNNNNNNNNNNNNNNNNNNNNNNNNNNNNNNNNNNNNNNNNNNNNNNNNNNNNNNNNNNNNNNNNNNNNNNNNNNNNNNNNNNNNNNNNNNNNNNNNNNNNNNNNNNNNNNNNNNNNNNNNNNNNNNNNNNNNNNNNNNNNNNNNNNNNNNNNNNNNNNNNNNNNNNNNNNNNNNNNNNNNNNNNNNNNNNNNNNNNNNNNNNNNNNNNNNNNNNNNNNNNNNNNNNNNNNNNNNNNNNNNNNNNNNNNNNNNNNNNNNNNNNNNNNNNNNNNNNNNNNNNNNNNNNNNNNNNNNNNNNNNNNNNNNNNNNNNNNNNNNNNNNNNNNNNNNNNNNNNNNNNNNNNNNNNNNNNNNNNNNNNNNNNNNNNNNNNNNNNNNNNNNNNNNNNNNNNNNNNNNNNNNNNNNNNNNNNNNNNNNNNNNNNNNNNNNNNNNNNNNNNNNNNNNNNNNNNNNNNNNNNNNNNNNNNNNNNNNNNNNNNNNNNNNNNNNNNNNNNNNNNNNNNNNNNNNNNNNNNNNNNNNNNNNNNNNNNNNNNNNNNNNNNNNNNNNNNNNNNNNNNNNNNNNNNNNNNNNNNNNNNNNNNNNNNNNNNNNNNNNNNNNNNNNNNNNNNNNNNNNNNNNNNNNNNNNNNNNNNNNNNNNNNNNNNNNNNNNNNNNNNNNNNNNNNNNNNNNNNNNNNNNNNNNNNNNNNNNNNNNNNNNNNNNNNNNNNNNNNNNNNNNNNNNNNNNNNNNNNNNNNNNNNNNNNNNNNNNNNNNNNNNNNNNNNNNNNNNNNNNNNNNNNNNNNNNNNNNNNNNNNNNNNNNNNNNNNNNNNNNNNNNNNNNNNNNNNNNNNNNNNNNNNNNNNNNNNNNNNNNNNNNNNNNNNNNNNNNNNNNNNNNNNNNNNNNNNNNNNNNNNNNNNNNNNNNNNNNNNNNNNNNNNNNNNNNNNNNNNNNNNNNNNNNNNNNNNNNNNNNNNNNNNNNNNNNNNNNNNNNNNNNNNNNNNNNNNNNNNNNNNNNNNNNNNNNNNNNNNNNNNNNNNNNNNNNNNNNNNNNNNNNNNNNNNNNNNNNNNNNNNNNNNNNNNNNNNNNNNNNNNNNNNNNNNNNNNNNNNNNNNNNNNNNNNNNNNNNNNNNNNNNNNNNNNNNNNNNNNNNNNNNNNNNNNNNNNNNNNNNNNNNNNNNNNNNNNNNNNNACAAAGCCAGGCUGGUGCCUCUAAGGAGCACCGGAAGGCCUCCGUGUCGCUGAGCCGUUUCGAUGAUUGAGGCUUCGAAUCGACGAUGGCGGGCCGACGAGUAACUGUGUGGCCGGGCGUGUGGAUGUACUUCUAUUCUAUCUAUGUUGUAUUUCUACAAAUAUACAUAAUAGCUUUAUAUUAAGUCCGUGAAUAACUUAGAUUACUUACGCGGAUAUUAGGUAGUUUAUCUAGAAAUAAUUUUUUUGACUUGAUUUUUCCGGAUAUACAUUUAGACAUCUUACUUAGGUCAAUUAUAUGAAAUGCUAGGUGUUGAACAUUAUAAUUAUGUAAUUUUAAUUAAAAAUAUUUCAGAUUACGAUAAUUAAAACAAAAAAGGAUUCAAAUCAAUAAUUUUUAAUGGCUGAAAAUAAAAAUCCUAUAAAAGUGGUGAUAUAGCACUAAAAUUUUCGAUCAGAAAUGAUAGAUCUUGUUGUAGAUAGUAUAAAGAUUUUCUAUCAAAAUUCAUCUGAUUUGAAUACUUCUACACGUUAACUUGAAAACGUAGAUAUCAACCAUUAAAAAUUAUAGAUUUUGAAUCCUUUCGAUCACUAGGUAAAUGAUAUCGAAAAAUCGCAAAAAUUAUUUUCUAGAAACUUCAAAUGCGCUAGAUCAAGUCUAACAGAGCCGAUCGUCAAUUCGAAAAUUCCAUCAUCGAAAACGCUCAGGAGCACAGAGGCCUCCGUGCUCCUGAGAGCACAGCAGCCCUGCUCUAUUAUAUAUUAUAAUAUAUAUAUAUAUAUAUAUAUAUAUAUAUAUAUAGAGAGAGAGAGAGAGAGAGAGAGAGAGAGAGAGUUAGGCUGGUAUACUAUCGUUGUCACGGAGGCCUCCGUGCUACCAAGUUGUUUACAAUGAUGUGCUUUCAAAUCGACGAUCGCUCUUUAGAUUUGAUCUACCUGUAAAAGGUAUUUGGAAACAAAUUUUAUAAUUUUUCAGUAUCAUUUACCUAUCAAACUAGCAGUCUAAAAUGAACGGCUGAGAAUAAAAAUCUCAUAAAAAUGAUGAUAAAAGACUUGAAUUUAAGAUCAAAGGUACUGAUCUUACUCUAAACAGUCAAAGAAUUUCUCUAGAAAAAUUCAUCAAUUUUGAUUGUUUUACAACCGUUAAAUUCACAAAUGCAUCACAUCUACCUUUAAAUUGUCAAUUUUGAGACCUUUUAAUCACUAGCCAAAUGAUGUCGAAAAAUUAUGAAUUUAGUUUUCAAAUACUUUAUAGUGUAGAUCAAGUUUAACAGAGCCGAUCGUCGAUUUGAAACCGCAUCAUUGAAAACAAUUUGGUACAGCGGAGGCCUCGUGCUACCGAUAGUAUACCAGCCUAACUCUAUAUAUAUAUAAUAUAUAUAUAUAUAUAUAUAUUAUAAUUAUAUAUAUAUAUAGAUCCGUUCAGUACUUUCGAAAGUACGGGAGGCCCUGUGUGCUUGUAAUCUGUUUUAUGAUAGGACGUCCGAUUCGACGAUCGGCUCCGUUAGGUAUGAUCUAUCCUAUUGGAACUAUCUAGAAACCAAAUUUUAUUUUUUUGACAUCAUUUACUAAGCGAUCAAAGGUCUAAAAAUGACUAUUUAACGGCCGAUGUGGCAUAUUUUUAAGUUCAAACGGUUAGAAGUAUCCAAAUUACAUGAAAAUUUAAUAGAAAAUUCUACUUAACAUCAGUACCAAGAUUAAUACUUCCGAUUUAAAAUUUGAAUCGUUUAUUACCGUUUUUAUGAGAUUUUUAUAUUUCAGCCGUUCAUUUUAAGGCUACUUCGUUCACGUAGACAAAACGAAAUCAAAAAUUAUGAAAUUUGGUUUCUAGAUAGUUCCAGUAGCGUAGAUCAAGUUUAACGGAACCGAUCGCCGAAUCGAAUGUCCCAUCAUCGAAAACAACUUACAAGCACGGGGCCUCCCGUACUUUCGAAAGCAUAGGAGCCUAGCUCUAUAUAGCUAGAUUGGAAUACUAUUGAUAGCAAAAGGUCAUUUUUGCUAUCAAAUUUUUAAUCCUUGAUAAGGAAUCGUAGUAUUAGGAUGAUAUUAAUCCUUAGCGUUGAGUGGUCCCCCUAGGGUUGAGUGGUCUCCACUGAGUUUUAAUAUUUAAUCUAAUGGUUAGAAAUAAUGAAAAGAAUUAAUCCAAAGACUAAAAAUUUGAUAGCAAAAAAGAUUUUUUGCUAUACCAGAAUUUAACCAACUCCCUCUCUCUCUCUCUCUCUCUUCUCUCUCUCUCUUUCCAUUAUAUAUAAUAUAUAUAUAUAUAUAUAUAUAUAUAUAUAUAUAUAUAAAUUGAGUUCCUAUACUUUUAAAAGUACCAAAGUUAUUGAUACUUGUAGAUUUUUGGCCAUUGAUUAAGAGAUGUGCGGUUAGGAUGAUGUGGCCCUUUAGGGUUGAGUGGGUGAUUGAUUGAAUAGUAUAAUCUAACAGGUGAAAAUGAUCAAAAACGUAGAUCUAAUAGUAAAAAAUUUAUAAGCACCAUAGCCGGACUAUAUAUAUAUAUAUAUAUAUAUAUAAUAUAAUAUAUAUUAUAUAUAUAUAUAUAAUACAAGUACCAAGUCAUUAGUGCUUAUAGGUUUUCGGUUUUUGGAUAAAGAUUUGUAGGUUUAGAAUAAUAAUGGUCGAAUAUAACUCUAAGAAUCUAUUUGAAAAAAAUUUGGAAUGUUAAAAGGAUAUUUUUUAUAUUAACCUUUUAAAUAGGGUAAAUAAAAAAGUUCGAAACUUUUCGAGGAUAUAUAAUCAAUUGCCUCUAUAUUAUAAUAUCAAGUCAAACAAACAUAACGUCUUGUUACAAUCAUGAUGUAAUUUGAUUAUGCACUAGAUAAUGAACUUGUGCUAAUCCAUUUGUAUAAACAAAUCCACACCUUCAAGUUAGGUAAAAUUGAUCACUAUAUUUUCUUUGAAUCAAGUCACUAAACUUUAGUUUCCACUUCAAUCAAAUUAUUUUAUUAAGUUUCUCAUAAUUUUUUAAGAAAAAUAUUAUCUGUACACCUAUUAAUAAGUAUAGAAAAAACUUCAAAUACCACCCUUGUGGUUUCACACUUUUUUACUUUAGUACCCUGUGGUUUAAAGUAUAUCAAUUUAGUACCCUGUGGUUUCGCAUUUUCUCACUUUAGUAUCCUGUGGUUUAAAAUGUAUCAAUCUAAUACCCUGUGGUUUCAUUUUUUCUCUUUUCGUUUGCCCUUCUGUUAAUAUUUCGUUAAAUUAUAUACAAAAUACUUUAGAUACCCUACCUAGGUUUAUCGAAUAUUUACUUUAGUACCAUUUAGUUUUAACUUUAUCAACUAAUUUUUUUUAAUUUCCUCUGUUAAUAUUUCGUUAAAUUAUUUUAAAAAAACUUCAGAUAUCCUAUUUAGGUUUAUCGAAUAUUCACUUUAGUACCCUUUAAUUUUAACUCUGUCACUGAUUUAGCGAAAAAAUUAUUGAAAUAGAUAAUAAAAAGAUUAAAAUGAAAUCACAGGGUACUAACUUGAUACACUUUAAACCACAGGGUACUAAAGUGAGAAAGUGCGAAACCACAGGGGCUAACUUGAUACACUUUAAACCAUAAGGUAGUAAAGUGAGAAAGUGUGAAACCACGAGGGGUAUUUGAAGUUUACCCAUAAGUAUAAAUCUAACAACUCAUUCAUAUUAAUUAAGGUCCACAAAAUCUGGUCAUUUUUCAAAAAAAUAAAUAGUUCUUGGAUGAGCGAGGUAUAAAGUUUAAAUCUAAUCUAGGAGUGCAUAAAUAAUAUUAGAUUAAUUUCAUACAGAUCUCUGCAAAUAUAGUGAAUGACAAAUAUAUUCCUAUAAAUUUCAACUUUCAUAUCUUAUUCCUGCAAAAGUCCUGAUAUUUACAAAUAUGUCCCUCUGAUUUAUUACCGUUAGAGAACUGUUUAUAUUUUUAAUUUUGUCAUCACAAAUAUGUCCCUCCAAAAGCCAUAACAGUAUAAUAUAAGAGGGGUAAAAAUCUCACAAACUAAUCAGGAUUAAAUAUUUAACCUAUGCUUAACUAAAUUUUCUAACGGAUACUAACACCAGGGACAUAUUUGAAAACAUCAGGACUUUUGUCGGAACAACAUAUAAAAGUUGAACUUUGUAGGGACAUAUUUGUCAUUAACUAUAUUUGCAGGAACUUGUAUGAAAUUAACCCGAUAAUAUUAUUCAUUUUUCAAACAUAUAUAAUAGUAGUGAUUUCAUUUACCGCAUCAUACUUCAUGUUUUACGGAUAACCAUUAAUCUGUCACAUAGAAAUAAUCUAACUACUAAUUUAGCUAUCAAAAUAUCUUCUCGAGAUGAUGUAACAAUUAAACAAUAGAAAUAUUGAGAUAAUUUAAUAGCUAAUUUGACUAUCAUUAUCCUGUAAUUUUGCAAAUAUUUCUAUUAUUACUUACAUUAAUAAAAUGAUGAAAUUAAAGCCCAGGUGAUCAAAUUGAAAUAAAAAUAAAGUUCAAUGACUAGAUUGAAAAUAAAUAAAUAAAUAAAUAAUAAAGUUUAGUGGUCUAAAUAAAAUUUUAUUUUAUAAUGUGUAAGUUAACAAAAUGUACUCAGACCCCCUCAACUAAUGCUGUUUUGAAAUAAUCUCCUCAACUUUACGGUUUUUUUCUUUUUUUUAAACCUCUACUUUUUUAACUUCUAUUUUUUUUUUUCAGUUUGUAUUAAUAUAAUUAGUACAAGCUAAAAAUUUAUAAUAUUUAAUGGUUCUACAGCUAUAAAUAGUCCAUUAUUUUUAUUUUAUUUGUUGAAAGAUAAUUAAGUUUAUAAAAUUUAAUAUAAUUAUUAAUAAAUUCAUUAAAAUAUCUAAUUAAGUUUUUUUAGAUUAGUCGAUUCAAUAAUAUCAACAAUUAAGAAUAUUUUAAUAAAAUAGUAAGGAUAAACUUUAAAUUGCCUCCCUGUUGUAUAACUUAUUUUUACUUUGUCAUUCUGUUGUUCAAAAAGUUUCUGCUUGUGGUGUUUAUCUCAUUUUCGCUUUGCUACCCCGUUGUUUAAAAAGUAUAACUUUGCCCUGCUAUGGUUUAGCGCAUUUUUUAUUUUGCCAUCCAAUAAUUUUUUUUAAAAAAAAAAAUUUACUUUUCCGUCAUUUUUCACAUAAAGUUUUUUUUGGUGAAAUAAAAAAAUUAAAUCACAGGGGUCAAAGUGAAAUUUUUUGAACCACGGUAUAGCAAAGUGAAAAUAAGCAAAACCACAGGGGAAAAUAUGAAGUUUACUCAUUAAAAAAAUAAUGUUGGACCUUGACUAAUUUUUAGAAAAAUUCUAUAUCAAGCUGCUAAUAAAUGGGCUGGGCUUACCAAAGCCCAACCCUUUAUGGAUGUAAUUGCCUAAUUUAGCCCAAACCCAUUCACACUCUUAACGGGUCAAAAAAUGGAUCCGAUUAGGAUUCGGAUCAAAUAGUAUUUAAUAAUCUGCAAAUUUGCAGCAUACAACCUAUUAGUAUAGUUUUGAUUAACCAAAGAAAGAAAAAAAAAAAUUUGAGAAAAAGGCAGCAUGCGAAUCGCUUUAUUUAUUAUUUAUUUAGGAAUUGAACUAAACUACUGAUUGAGGCAACUAGGCCUCAUAGAGAGAGAGAUGAAAAAAAGAAAAAGAAAAAGGAAAUCUACUUAACACAGUAAAGAUUCCAUAGGUUUUUUAUAGGGUGAAUCUCCACCAUCAUUUGACUUGUGGUGUUCUUUUUUAUUUUCUUGAAAAUUCUUCUAUUCCGGUCCAACUAAAUAACCCAACGCAAAGAGGCAAUUGUUGCUAACUUCCUACCCCCUAAGGCGCCACCUUUGAGUCUGUUCACUUUGUUGCUAACUUCCUACCCCCUAGGGCGCCACCUUUGAGUCCGUUCACUUUCCAAAACCUAUUCACUUAUAUGCAAUUAUGAGAGACGUCUUACUAGGUAAUUGGCCCUUCAACAAUAGUCUAGUAGUUUCACAACCCACGGAAAGGUGGUGGACCGUCUCUGGCUCAUCCAUACAGAAAACACAAACCUCCUCACCACGCCAACCCUUUUUUAGAAAAUUAUCCACUAUUAGUACCUUUCGUGUUAAACUAUCUACACAACAAUUUUAACUUGAUCAGUGAGUUCUUAUCUUCCAGAACAAAACUUAUGUCAAUGAUUCCACCAUCUUAUAGAAAGUUAUAGAGCAAGUUAAUUGAAAACUUUUUGGAUCGGGCCUAUCUCCAUCUAACUUCCUCCCUUCUAUUAAACAACGUAAUGUCAUAAAGCGACUCUUUUAGCUUCAAGAUCUGAUCUCUAUUGUGCUGUGAGCAUGGGAUGAAACCUGACAAAAUCUUACGUCACUUCCACUCAUUUCCUUCGAAAUAAUCCCUCACAUUGCAAGUUUUACUCUCUACCUCACUAAGAAUGCUACGGUAGGGAGGACCGGCCACUCCAGAUGUUCGACCAAAGGCUCACUAUUUGUCCGUCUCCAAUCGAAUAAGUAACUCCAGACUUAAAAUGAGUCAUAGUCGCUAAAACACACUCUGCAACAACUGUGAGUAAAGUCUAAAGGAGGCACCUUCUCUAAGCAUCUUUCAGGAGUUGUAAAGACUUUCAAUAAGAGAGCCCCACUGACGGAUCUUAUUUGAGAGAAACCUCUACUACCAUUUCGCAAGUAGAGCUAGCUUUAAGUUUUUUAAAUCCAAAAAUACUAAUCCUCCCUUCUUUUUACUUCUAUAAACCGACUUUCAAUGCACCAGACAUUGUCCCCAACAACAUAAGUCCCUCCUUUCCAGAAAAAGGCCCUCCGGAGAGCAUCUAUGCAACGUAUAACCCAUUUGGGCGCUCAAAAAAUUGAGAAAAGGUAUGGAGGCAGAUUCGAUAAAAUAGAGUUCACUAGGGCUAGCCUGCUUCUCUGCGAAAGUAGCUUAGCUUUCUAUCCUUCGAUCCGUCUCUCAAUUCUACCUAUAAUGGGCCACCAGUCUUCCUUUCGAAAUUGUUUGCUUGUAUGAGGUAAUCCAAUGUAGAGAAUUGGGUAAGACCCCGGUUUGCACUCUAUGAUCUCAACAAGUGUCUCACCCUAAUGGUCACCUCUACCCAGAUAGAAUAACUCAGACUUAUUCCUAUUUAUCUUGAAACUAGACGCCCAUUCAUGAAGAGAAGGUUUCUCAUUUGUCUUUUCUUAGCCUCAUAAAAAAAGAUUGUGCCAUCUGCAUAUUGAAUAAUAGCAAUCUUUAUUUCUCAAAAAAAAAAUAAAUAAUAGCAACCUUGCAAUCCUCAAUAGGUCCAACCCUUCUUAGUAGAUUAUUACUUUUUUUUUAGAGAAAUGUAGCAUGCUACUCGCUUCAUUUAUUUUUUUUAGAAAUAACUUAGCUGAAAACGUGAAUCAACUAGGAUUCGAACUUAGGAGCUGAGAUACCAACCAUCAAGCCUUUUACUACUUGCGCUAGGGACAGUCGGUCUUAAUAGAUUAUUGCUGAUAGCUCUUCUCAUCAUUCUUGCCAGACCUUUCGCCACCAGAAAAUAGAGAUGUGGGGAAAAAGGAUCACCUCGGAGUAGACUCUUUUUAGCUUUGAUCCAUUUAGAGAGAAUCCCCUUAACCAAAAUUGCAACUUUAGUGUUAGAUAUGCACUGCUCAAUCCAACCACACCACUUGUUGUUCGCCCCAAGCACAUCAAGAUCUUUCUUAGUAAACCCUUAGCUCACUCUGUUACAAGCCUUCUCAAAAUUAGCUUUAGUUCUAACACUUUCCACUCCUAUCCUUGACCACCAACUAACAAUCUUGCUAACAGUAGAAAAGGAGUUCAGAGUUAUCCACCCUUUUAGGAAAGAAGCCUGAGAAAAGGAGAUGAUCUAUAAUUUCAAGUCUGUUUGUGAGUACCUUGGGUAUGAUCUUUUGAACACUGUUGAUAAGAUUGAUAGGCGCUGAAUCAAUAUCUAAUUUAGCUCCCUUUUUCUUGGGAACUAGGCAAAUUUAAGAGUAAUCCAUACGUCCAAAAUUCAUUCAAUCAUCAUACAAGUCCCGAAGAUAUUAAAUAGGUCUACUUUAACCACCUCUCAGAAGCUCUAAUAAAACCUCAAGUUGAAUCCAUCCGAUCCUAAGGCUUUUUUCUCGUCUAAUUGAAAAGUUGCCUUUCUGAUUUCUUCCAUAAAAAAGGAAGAGGUGAGUUGCUCAAGACAAAAAAUUGAUCUACCCCUAAAAAUAUUACUUCAAUCGCCUCAAACAAUGCAACUUAGUUUCAAAUAGUUGCAAUCUAAGUCUCAAAUAAUACAAUUUAGUCUAAAACAGUGCCUAUUUUAUAUGGUACAAUUUUAUUUCAAAUAGUUAAAAAUGAUGUAACUUUUUCUCAAACAAUGCAGCUUAGCCUCAAAUAGUGUAAUUUUGUUUCAAACAAUGCAACUUCUUUUUCUUUUUUCUUUUUCUCUGCUUCUUGGCAUUUCUUAUAGCGACCACGAAACAUAUUGACUUUUUCAGGAGAAUAAAAAAUAUAAUUUUCUUAUUAUUUUUAUUUUAUUCUUUCUUUCUUUCUUCUUCUUCUUCUUCUUCUUCUUCUUCAUCCUCUACAUUCUUUUCCGUUAUCGCACCUCCUUUGUUGCUCUUUGCCACGGUUACUGACCCUGUCCUGAUACGCUCUCCCUUCCUGUCAUUCUCAAAGCCUGCGGCACCCUCAUCGCCGUUGACGUCCAUGACCAUGCCCUUUGUCGCAGUCUUACCUUCACAAUCUAUGGCAUGUCUGAGCCGACAUCAAUAGAAGCAUAGGUGAGGUAAGAGAGAGGAGUGCAACAUCGACGUCGGGGCAGUGGAGAUGGAGGAGAAGAAGAAAUAAGAGGAAGCAAGAGGAGGAAAAGAGAAAGAAAUAGCAAGGAGGAAGGAUAUGAACCUGACAAAGAGACGAAUGAGGAAAAAAGAGAGGGAGAAAAAAUAUAAGAGUAUUUUAGUUAGUUUACUAAAAAAUUCGGACCGAAUUUGCAAAAUCCAAAAAAAAUAGCCCGUUAUUGCAAAAACUAAAAAUUGGUGGAUUUUUUUAUGCAAAAAGUUUAAGACAUAUAGCAAUCAAAUAUCAUUUAACUAAUGUAUUGUAUAAAAAACUAAAUUAUUUAAAAUAUUUAAUUAAUUUUAAACAUAUUAAAAAUAUUUAAUUAGCUUUCUAUAUUUAUAAAUAAAUUAAUAAUUAUAUAGUGUAUAUUAUUUCGCAGGACGAGUAGUAUCCCCACCCCCUACCCCAACUAGGGGUGUAAACGGGCCGGGCGGCCAGUGGGCCGCGCGGUCGAGCAUGACUGCGGGAUGGGUCGUGGCCCGGCACGGGUACUAUAGCACCCAUGCCGGGCUGGCCCGUCCUAGCUCCAUGGGUCAUGUUGGGCUGAGCUACUACGGCCCGAAGGCCCGGGACAGCACGGCCCGUCCCGUGUUGGAUUUGGGCCGUGCUGGGCCGACCUAUUUUUUUUAAAAGUAGUAGGUUGUAGCCUACAUGUAGGCUUGGCUGGCUUUUCUAGGGCCUAUAUUGCCUCGGACAGAAUAAUCGUUGGGUCCUCUUUUUUCUUUUUUUUUUCAAAAUUUUUUUUUUAUUAUUAAUUUUUUAAAAAAGGUUAAAAAAUAAAAAAAAAAAGAUUUUUUGAUCAAAAUGACCAUAAUGCCCUCAUUAACAUUCAAAAAUUUGAUUGUUAGAGAGGGCAUUUUGGUCAAAAAAUAAAAAAUAUUUUUAUAUAUUUUUUUAAAAAAAUUACAUUUUUUUUAAUCUAUAACUGCUACUAAAAACAUCUAAAUUUAUCAUAACAAACAACUCUUCAUUCAUCUUCUUCUACAAAGAUUAAUUCUUCCUACUCUUACACUUUCAAUUUUAAUUUUUUUUCUCAACUUUCAAGUUUACUUUACAAAUAUUUUUAAUUUUUUUCAACAUUUUUUUUUACAAAAUCUCUCCUCAAUUUCACCACACAAAAUUUCAAUUUCAACACAAUAAUUAAUCUCUUUUUUUUUAUUUUUUUUAUUUUUAAAUAUUUUUAUUUAAUUAUUUUUAGUAUUAUUGUAUUUAUUUUUUAUAACAAUGUCGGAUGAAUUUUCUCAUAUAGAUUUUUCUUAUACUGAUUAUACUCAUGAAUAUUAUGUUAGUAAUCAAUCAGAAAUUGUGUCACGCCCCGGAUUACUCGUUUCCCCGGGCACGCCGACAAAUCCGCCGUAUACAAAAAAAAUUUUCCUGUAUACGAAGCGACAGCUGUACCUGUAAUCAAACAAUACUACAACCAAUAGUAUAGAGCUGUUAGAAGAAAUGAUAUAUAUAAAACAGAAGUUCACUAUACAUACAACAUCCUGGUGUACAAAACACUCGCUCCAGCGAGAUACAACAAAAGUAUGUAUAUGAACUCAAAAACUACCACUGCCUGUAGCUGAUAUACUCUAGCUCAGCAGCAACUGGGAAGGGAUCUAACUCGCAACUCCCUUUCCACGGUUCGUAUUAGCAGCAGCAGCAGCCGAAGAAGAAACCUCUGCAAAAGAUUCCAACAACUGGGCGUGAGAACUACUACAAAAGUAGUCCUCAGUAGGUACCGCUACCGACUUCAACGGCUCACCUACUAAGUCUACAGAUGUAAACAAGUAUAGUAAGAAAACUGAAAUAAAUCUACAGCUAUAUGCACCUAUACUAUCUUGGUCGAACACCAACAAUCUGUAGGAAAUAGUAAAGCCUGACCCAAUCUCACUAAGGACUGUGAACACACUCGUCCCGCCUGUCGAAGCUACACAAUCUGACACCAAACCAAGUCGCCAAUGAAAAGCAAGUCCAAGCAGGACUAAACGACACCAACGCAAAAGCAUAAAGCCCGACUCCGGAGUGGCACUCGUGAGCGCUAUCCAACCGAGUAUGCAAGCGUAUCUCUGUCGAGCUCAAUCAAGCUCUCACAGGCUAUAGUCAAGUAAACAGGGUCUAACAACUGAACUCACGUGCCCUCGGCACAAUCUGAUGCAAAAAUAGCAAUCUGGGUCUACCGUCAACCUCAACGACACCCGACAAUCCGGAACAGCCUAAACACUGCUGUAAAAAUACACUCGGCACCUCAGCACGAGCGUAAAUAUAUUCUACACUAUUCUGGGUAUUCAUCGCCCACAAACUGCGGCGAUACUAACAAACUACUGCUCACAGAGCUAAAUCUGGUAGUUUGUUCAAAUGGCGGCGUAGAAGUGUCAGUUUUCUCCUAAGUCAAAUCCAAGCCCAACAUGCAUAUUUUAGCUAAUUUUUUAUGCUCCAAUUCAAGUUCAUAGGCAUGAAAUUUCAAGAAUCGAGCUAAACAAUAUACCAAACAAAGCUAAAAAUACAUAUUGUCAACACAUAUAGCAUUAGGAGGAAACCCGUAGAAUUCGGUAAGCAUCACUUUAACCCACCACGAAAGCACGUCCAACAACGGCGAGAAGUCGAAAGAAGCGAAACCGCAUGCUCGCCCGGCCUCCCCACGACGCUAGCAUGACGAACGCACACUCGAACGGCACCGCGGCACGACAUCGGCGACAAUCUGACUCCACCCGAGCUCCUCCUUACGUACGGCUGAGCACAAGAGGAAGAGAGAGAGAGCACAGCAAAACCCCUCCUCAGCCUCUCUCUCCAUCCUAUAUAGUGUAGAGGGGAAAAGGUGACACAAACGAGGCAAGAAAAGACCAAAAAGCCCCUUACCUACCCUAGUGUACCGGUACCACUCCAAUGUUGUACCGGUACCCCGCAGCAGAAUGGCCAACCCGAGAGCAGUCUGUGCAGAAAAAAUGCACUGGGCACCGGUACGCCCUUGUGUGGUACCGGUACCAAUUGCUGAAAAUAUGAAAUUUGCAGAUUGCAAUGCUAACUCUCUGCUCUCGCGUCCCGCUGAGUCUACUUUGCGUCUAUUUCGCGUCAACAGGACUCGGACUUUUUCCGACACUCUCUCUAGAGCCGUCGACAAGCCUCAGCUGCUGAAUUCCAGGGUUACUACAAACUGCAACUGGUGGUUCUACACAAGAUGACGACGGCUCGCAACCUAAACCAAAUUUAGACGCAAGUUCUAAAAAAGCGUCUAAACAAAGAAUAAGCGAAGUAUGAAAGUACUUCAAUAUCAAAGAAAUUGAAGGACAAGACAUGCGAGCUGUUUGUACUAUAUAUGGAGUUCAUUAUUCUUGUGAUAGUUCCGAUGAAACAGGUCAUCUUAACAGGCAUAUUUAGAAACAUCAGGUAAAAGAAAGUAAAGAAACAAAACUAUCACAACUUGCUUUUACUUCUAGCGGAGUUAGUACAUUUCAAUCGAAGAGAACUUGCUUGUAUAUUGUAGGAGCUGAACAGCCAUAUAAAUUUGCCGAAUGUCCAUAUUUUUAACACUAUGUGAAAAUAGCUUUGAAUCCCGCAUACAAAAAAAUUUCUCGAAAUACUAGUCGCAAAGACUCAAUAAAAGCAUUUCUUGAAUAUAGACAAAAUUUGAUUUCAAUUUUAGAAAAUAUGAAUUCAAAAAUUUCACUCACUUUCGAUAUUUGGACUUCAAGAAAAGAACGUAGUUUUAUAUGUAUUACUGGACAUUGGAUUGAUUCUAAUUGGAUAUUACAAAAAUGAAUUAUUGGUUUUCAAGAACUUGAGUUUCCAUAUACUGGUAUUCAUAUUGCUCAGGCUAUUGAAAAUGUUUUGCAAAUUUAUAACAUUAGCCAAAAAAAAUUUUCAAUUAGUUUUGAUAAUGCUAGCAAUAAUAGAACCGCAGUUCAAAUUUUGAAAAAUAAUUUGCAUCCUAUCUUAAAUGAAAAAUUAUUUCAUAAUAAAUGUGCAUGUCAUAUUAUAAAUUUGUGUGUAUACGAGGGAUUAAGAAUAAUUAGUCCACAAAUAAAAAAAAUAAAAGAUUGUGUUAUGUUUAUUCAUAGCUCCGGUCCAAGAAAAUAUGAUUUUAAAAGUUUAUGUAGAUAAUUGGGCCAAAAGUAUAAAAAAAUUUAUUUUCAAUGUUCAACACCGAUGGAAUUCCAUAUAUAAAAUGUUGCAUUAUUAUUAUGAGUAUAGAAAUAUUUUAUCUAUUUUCUGUAAUGAGAAAAUACAGUAUAAUUUCAUAACUAAUGAAGAAUGGGAUAUUGAACAAAUUUUUAUAAUUUUUUGCAACCAGUUUAUGAGUCAACCAAACUUUUGUCAAGAGUAUAUUAUCCUACUUCAUGUUAUUUUCUUAAUCAAAUUUUACUUAUGAGUAGUCAUUUUGUUGAAUAUAGAAAUUCUUUUCUUUUAGGUCAAAUUGUUUUUAUGAUGGAAUCUAAAUUUAAAGAAUAUUGAGAAGAAAUUCCUAUUGUACCUCUUUUGGCCUCUAUAAUGGAUCCUAAAAUUAAAUUAAAUGGAGCAUAAAUUGCUCUUACUCAAUAUAAUGAAUUUUUAGAAAUUAAUUCAACAAAUUAUUCAAAUAGAAAAAAUAUUUUUCAAAUAGUAAAUAGUAUUUUAUGUGUGUAUGGUGUUUAUGUAACUACUUCGGGUAGUAAACGACCAUAUUCUUCACAGUUAUAAAGCAGCAGCAGUAGUAGUGGUAAAACUAGUAAAAAUAUAAUUUUAUCUUUAGUAAGAAAACAAAAACAAACGGAUUUUAAUGCACCUUCUUUUAAUGAAUUUUAGUUUUACUUACAAACCGAUUUUUCAAAUCUUUUUAAUGAAGAUGAAUCAGAAAAGAUAUUUUAGCCUGGUGGAAAACACAUGAAAGUACAUAUUCCAUACUUUCUGCCAUGGCACGUAAUCUACUAACUGUGCACGUUUCAACAAUGGCAUCCGAGUUUGCUUUUAGUGCAGGUGGAAGAAUAUUGGAUGAUUAUAGAAUCCGGCUUAAGGAGGAUGCAGUAGAGGUUUUAGUCUGCUUAAAAGAUUCGUAAGCUACAAAAUUAAGAAUACAGAGUUCAUGAGUUUACAUUUUUAGAUGAAACAGAAUUAACUACCUAAAAAUAUACCAACACUUGUGGCAUGCUAGAGUGCAAUCGCCCCAAUCUCCUCACUGUUGCUUAUUAGUCUUUGCACCUCUUCUUUUUUAUUUGGUACAUCUCUUUAGUAGGUACCUCUUUUUUAGGUAAAAAAAAUGAUGUAAUGAAGAACAAAAUUAUAUUGAAUUUUUUUCUCUAUUGUUUGCUAAUUGGUUGUAUAAACAAUGCCAUUUUAUUUUAAAUAUAUUUUUGAUUUUUUGGAUUUUUAUAUUUUUCUCCAAUGUAAUUAUAUAAUAUGACUAAUUCAAAUACCAAUUUUAUUAUUUGUGUUUUAAUUUUUUAAUUUUAUAAAAUUUUUAAAUGANAUUUUAAAUAUAUUUUUGAUUUUAUAAAUAUUUGUACUUUCCUCCAAUGUAAUUAUAUAAUAUGAUUAAUUCAAAUUUUACAUAUUUUUUGUGCUUUUUUUUUUUUCAAAUAUCAAUUUCUCUUCAAAUAAUAAAAAAUUAUGAAAAAAAAUUAAUAUUAAUUUUAUAUUAAAAAGAUAAAUUUAUUGUUUGUGUUAUAAUUUUUUUAAAAUUUAUAAAAUUUUUGAAAGAGUUUUAAAAAUGAUGGGUAUAAUUGUGUAAAUUAAAAACUAUAAGUUAAAAAGUUAUAAUUUAAACUCUUUUUCUUAAAAAAAUAAUUUAAAAUAAAAUAUAAAAAAAGCUGGAAAAAAUGCCUAUUGGCUAUUACCGGGCUGGCCCGAAGCCCAGCCUAGGCCCGGCCCGGCCUAUCUUGGGCAGGCCAGGUGUCGGGUCGGGCCGGGCUGAACCUUACACCCCCAACCCCAACCUAGGGAUGUCAACGGGUCGUUAGGUCGGAUUUUCAAAACCCGAACCGGACUCCAAACCCGAAACCCGAACCCGAUGGAUUUUAAAAAUUCAUAUCCAAAGCUGAACUCGACCAAAACUCCGAAACUCGAACCCAAAAAUUCGAAUCCGAAAUAAUUAUUUCUGUUUUCAAUAUUUCAAAAUGUAUUACAUUAAAUUUAAAUUUUAAAAAUACAAAUUCAAAUAUAACAUCAAAAUUUCAUAUAUAUAUUAUAUAUAGUAUAAAAUAAAUUCGGGUUCGGGUCGGGUUCGGUCAAAAUCCAUAUCCAUAUCGGAAUCCAUAUCCGUCGUUCUUUUGUUUUUGAUAUCUAUAUCCGAAACUAUAUCCAUUUAGCAUCGAGUAAAUUGGUUCUGUUCGGAUUCGAAUUCAGAUAAAAUUUUGGAUAUCUGUACCCAUUGACAUCCCUACCCCCACCCUGUCUUCGCAAGUGGAAAAUUCUUCUUCUUUUUUCCCGAUUUAUAUUUUUGUUAGAGACAAAAUUCUCCCCAUCCGUGCCCUAUAAGAGACAGAUCGGUGUGAAAAUAUAGUUAUGUGGAAAAAAGGGAAAAAGCUAUGUGUACACCCAAGAAUGAGUGUACAUUCUAGACUCCACCCAUCCAAGGGUGGGAAAUCACUCGCUAGUCAUAUGAUGUGAUUUGUAUAGUGAAUGCCAUCUUUUGAUAGGAUGUGUGUAAAGCUUACACCCACUUUUGGAUGUAUAUCUAGUAUUGCUCGGAAAAAAUUGUCUUAAUCCGUCUUAAACGAAUUUUUUUUUUUAUAAAUAGUCUUCCUGAAAAUUGUAUUUAUAAAAAUAGGCCUCCUUCAAAAUUUAUUGUAAAAAUAGUCUUCAAAUAGGCCAGGUCAGCUCGUGGGGUAUAUAACGCAUAUAUGCGGUGAAUGGUUCACCGCAUUCAGAUAUGCGGUGAACCAUUCACUGCAUUUGUGGGUCUAGGCACAUCGCGCGGGAAAACCGAGAAUGCGGUAAAUGGUUUACACCCAACCGAUGGGGGGAACAACAUGAAGGCGGUGAAUGUUUACCGCCUUUAUAGGAUUUUUAAAUCCUUAUGAAAGCGGUGAACAAUUUACCGCUUUCACUUGAAAGCGAUAAAUGGUUCACCGCUUUUAUCUUCUCCCGCCAGCUCACUGCCCACGUGACAGUUUUGAACCUAUUUUCGUAAAUAAAAGUUUGAGAGCCUGUAUUGGAGGAGACUUGUUGGAUAAAAAUCCCGUCUUAAACCCCUACAAGGCCGGCCCAUUACCAAUACCAAGCCCACGAACAAUUGACAUAGAAAUCAUCGAGCUAAAAAUAUAAUAUAAUAUAUAAAAUAUAUGUAUAUUAUUAUUAUUAUUAUUAUUAUUAUUAUUAUAUGUCUUAAGUACGAGAUACGCUUUUGAUCAACUCCCCUCCUCUCUCUCUCUCCCCCCUACGUUUAUUCCACAGCAAUGCUCCGUCGCAAACCAAAACAAAAUCAAAACGAAGCCCACGCCCAAAUCUGAAAUCUCCAAGCGCAAAGCUUCUUCCCCCAUUUCGUCCCCCAAAAUCUCCUCCACCGCAGCCUCCGUCGCCGCCCCCUCGCCGGAACCCUAGCUCCCUCCGAUCCGUAAGUAGUAGCCUCUCGUCCUCUCGUCCUCUCGUCCUCUCUCUCUCUCUCCCUCUCGAUCUCCUCUCGUUCAUGUCGCUCCUCUCCUCCCCCCCUCGCUCUCGGAUAGCGAGCUAGGGCUUCGCUCGAACCCUCCUGGAUUCGCCCUUCCAUUAGGGCUUGUCGGCGAGGAUCGGGUUAGGGUUUGCGCGCCGGUGGAAUGAGAGGUCAUGGAGCAAGAAGAGGAGCGGUUUUGAUCGGUUCGUAGCUGGCGCAAAGGACUCCUCUUUGUAUCGGGAUUUGGGUGGUUUGUGGUGAAUAGUAUGGGGGAUUCGGCUGAUCUGGUGCUGGAGUUCUUGAGGAAGAACCGGUUCACGAAGGCCGAAGCCGCGCUUCGAGUCGAGCUGGACAGCCGCAGCGAUUUGAAUGGGGUUCUCGAGAAGCAGAAUCCGGAAGCUGGGGAAGAGAUUGGGGUAGCUAGUAGGGUUACUCAUCAUGGUACAAGCACGAUGAGUGGUGGUGAGCUCUCGAAUGAGUUCAUUGUGAAGGAGAUUUCAGAAACUAAGAAGGGUUUCGGUACGAAUCGAGUUCAGCAAGAGAGUAGUUCCGGAGAUCUUUACCCUCUAAAUUUGCCUUCAAAUUUGGGCAAGGACAAUGGGAGCAUCGAGGAGAAGUUUACGGAGCUAUUGUUGUCUGAGGAACCAAAACAUCGCCGUAAUGGGAGGGGUAAAGUUAAAGGUGAGCUUGUGUUAGACAUUAAUCAGAACUCUGGUUUUACGGCUAACAAUUCAGAGAAGGGUUGUUCAGUGAAGACGGUUUUCCCGUUUCCUGAUGUAAGUGCGAGCGCCUCAUCAAGUGACGAUCAAGUCCUUGGUCAUGGCGAUGAUAGAAAUGAUGUGAAGAAGAAAGAAGAGUUUAACGAUAUUAGGGAAGAGAGAAGCGAGCACCUAAAUAUUGCACAGAGUAAUAAUUUGCGGAGCUUUGAUUUACCGCUCAUCGGUGAGAGACAAAGGGAAGACCUUCCGAGGCUGCCGCCUGUGCGAAUUAAGUCUGAAGACAAGCUAGUUAAUAUGCAUUGGGAAGACAAGGUUGACCGGGAUGGAUCUGGAGUGAAGCUCUGUAGUGCGGACAAUACCUUUAUGAUUGGGCCUUUUCUUGAUGCUCCGGCUGGGCAAGAUAUGAGCGCUUCAGGUAUGUUGGUAAUUUAGCCCUCUGUAACUCUGUUAUCCUUCGAGAGUUAAACGUAUGCACAUACCCUUUACUAGCUCACAUUGUGACAUAGUCUCUAAACUUUUCACUUAGACAUUCAAGUUUCAUCCAUAACAGUAGAGAAGAUUGAAGAAUUUGGAGAAGAUCGAAGAAUUUUACCUUCUAGCUAGUCUCUAAACUUUUCAAGUUUCAUCAAGUGACGAUCAAGUCCUUUGGGUGCGCUUAUUUUCCAGUGAAAUCUUGUUAAAUGGACAAGAAACUGAAUGAUAGGGAUAAUGGAUAGAUUCUCUUUUAUCCUAGAAAUGGAAUUACUACUCAUUGAUAACUACCUUUCUUUGAUUUGAUGCCUUAUUAGAAAUGCAUUCCAAGGAGCUUCUUGAUCAUGUGAUUAAUUUUAAUUCUUGCCUUUUAAGGUUUUCUUCAGUAAUCUUUACUAAGAGUAGCAUUUACCACACUCAUCAUUGUAAAGAUACUGACAUUCUAUUCUUGUAUGAAGUUUUGAAUUUUGGGAGGUUGCAUAAGAUUGUGGUUUUAAAGCUGGAAGAUUCAAUUGUAGGUUGUAACUUCUGAUUUAUUGUAGAGGCAAGUUAAUUCGAGAUCAAAUUCAAGAAGAGUCUUUUAACUCUUGGUACAUGCCUUGCUUUGAUAAAAAGAGUGUGUUAACCCUCGGGACAUGCCAUGCUUUGAUAAACACCUGAUUAUUUAUUUGAAAUUUUAUCUCCAGAAAUUACUUCAAAUGAUGAAUUUCCAGAGACCAAGCAGCCAGGUUGUAUCACUUUUUAUAUUUCAGAUUAUGAUAGAUUUGAACAUCAUAUUUGUAGCAUCUGAUAAGAAAUGAAUUAAGUAAACAUCAUUUCUUCUAGGAAUAAUAGAAUGUAAACAAAACUGCUUAAAAUAUCUCUAAAAUAGAUUUGGCUGUUAGUUGAUUGUUGCAAGUUACAGCAACCUAUUUCCUUGAGCAAAAUGUUUUAAAAGUAUACCUUUAAUAUUUCUCCCUGUUAGGCUGUCUAAUUUGUCAAACUCCAUUAUGUGUCUAAGGUAAACAACUUGCUUCUCGUCUUUCACUUUUUUGCUGCUACUGCAAAAAAUGGAAAAGGUUGAGGCAGUCAUGAGGCCAGAUUUUGCUAAUACAUUGAGAUGUAUAUGCUUCCAAAUUUUUCCUGAAAUGGGGUGGUGCUGGUUGGGUCCAUAUUGAAAUGAGCACUGUUUAUUUAAUUGCUAUGUCUUGUAGAAGGAGAUAACAUAAGAUGACUGUUGGGCAUAACUUUGGUUGAUAUAAGGUUGACUAGAUAAGAGAUAAGAGGGCUGAAGGAUGAUAAAGUUGAAAUCAAAGAUUGCUUUGUUUGAAAAACAAAAUGAUAUUUUCCUCUGUGGAGACAGAAAUUUCUUGGUCGAUUUUCACUUUGGUUUAAAUUUUCUUUGGUCAUUAAAUAGAUGAUGUAACAUAGAUACGAAACUGGCUUGAGUGGUCAUUUAAUGCAAGGCAUGUUGCUCAGUUAGUCCCAUAUAGUAAAAGCAAUCUGAACUUGCAAAACUGAAUUGCAGUCUGAAGUUGCAAAAGUGAAAAUCUAUCUUGCCAUGCAAAACCCCUGUGGGGAGAUGGGAUGUAUGUUACUUUGUGUUGUUGUUUGACUUCAAGCUCUAGCAGACAAUUUAGCUUUUACUUGUUUAUUCUUUCCUUUUUUCUUUCUUUCUUUCUUUCUUUCUUCUUUUUUUUUAAAAUUUUUUUUGAGAAACCAAUUUGGGGUUUAUGUUCUUCCUGCUUUUUUUUUCUCUUAUAAAGCCAAGUUGGCCUGCACCACUCUAGAACAUAGUCCUUGUUGUUAUUGAAAUAUCAUCAGACUAUCUAACAAGUUACAUUAUGAUAUUUAACAAAAUCAUAUGUAAUUCAAUAAUGCUAUUUGUCCACUCUGCUACUUUCCGUGGUGUUUGUUUUCUGCAUUUUUUAAUGUGUAAAAUGUUGAUAACCUGCUGGAUUUGUCAUGAUUUACAUUUUACCUGCUCUGAUAAUUAAAAUUUACAUGUAACCCCUUGUUUAGGGGAGUAAAGGGCAAGUCACAUAUUUUUAUGGUGGUGCCUGUGGUUUUAGCCUUAGUCAAAUUUCAACUUUGUGUUUAAAUCUUAAUCUUUUUGAUUUGUAUCUUUAGGUGGGAAGCGAACAAUUGGAACUAGUUGGUUGUCUGUGAGCCAAGGCAUUGCUGAGGAUACUUCAGAUUUAGUAUCUGGUUUUGCAACUGUUGGCGAUGAAUCAAUUGACUAUCCAAACGAGUACUGGGAUUCUGAUGAAUAUGAUGAUGAUGAGGAUAUCGGAUACACACGACAACCCAUUGAGGAUGAAGCAUGGUUUUUGGCUCAUGAGAUUGACUAUCCUAGCGAUAAUGAGAAGGGAACCGGUCAUAGUAGCGGUUUCGAGCAACCAGAUCGCCUCCAAACAAAAGAUGAAGAUGACGAUCAAUCUUUUGCAGAGGACUCUUACUUGUCAGGUGAACAAUAUUGUCGGGAAAAGAAUAUUGAACUAAUGGCGUCUUCUGAGGUGCCAAUAAUAGAUGAAAAUUGUUUGAUAGCUCAAUAUGAUGGGCAACUUAUGGACAUCGAAGAGCUAACAUUAAUGCGGGGAGAACCAGUUUGGGAGGGUUUUGUUACACAAAGCGAUGAACUAGUUUUGUUAGGAAAUGGGAAUGUUUUAGAUGAUUCUGAGCAGGCUCGGGUCAAUGGUCCUUUGUUAGGAGGUGAUCAACAUGAUUCAGUUCGGUCAAUUGGCGUGGGCAUGAAUAGUGAUGCUGCUGAUAUCAGCAGUGAGGCAUGUGAAAGCUUGGUAGGAGGAGACAUAGAAUACGUUCAUGAUAGCAAUGUUGGUAAAACUAGUAAGACCAAUCUGAAUAGUUCGAAGAAAGAAAAUGUAAAGGUGACAAAACAGGACCAAGAUAACUACAUUUUGGCUUCUGAAAAGGGUAUUUUUCCAACAGGAACAAGUAGUCUUGAUGGUGGGUUUUCUUUCCUACCUCCAUUAAGUACUGGAGACAUAGCGAAUGCGGACUCUGGUAAAUCAUUAUGGUCUGAGGAAGGUAAUGUUUUUGUCAGCGAUGAUGCUGAUGAACAUGCAAAUGGAAUGGGUACAGAUGAUAUGCUUGCUGCAUGGAGAAGAAAAAGUAGCGAUUCUUCCCCUGUAAGGAGUUCAAGAGAUGCAAAAACUUCUGAUGUUAAUAGAUCAAGAGACUCAACUGCAUCGUCUGCAUCGGAUUACGCCUUUGCUGAAACAAAGGAUAUUGAGAAGCUGAGAGAUCACAAAAUUGAUGGUGCACAGGAUGAUGCUGUGGCAAAUUUGGAGGAUGAAGAAGUGGCUGCAUUGCAGGAACAAGUAAGGCAGAUAAAGGCUCAGGUGGAAGAGUUUGAAACCUUCAACCUUAAGAUUGUGCAUAGGAAAAACAGGUAUAUUCGGUUCUUAUUCCACUUUUUAUUUCAUGAACGUGAUUAAUAAGGAAUCCACCUAUCCAUUUUCUUUGUUAAAAUAAUUGGAGACCCUCCCAAUUACAUACUUUGGCUGGGGAUUCAAUUCAAUUUGAGGAAUUGCGGAAUUGCUGCUAAAAUUAACAGAAUCUGCGAGUCAACUGACUAAAAUAGCUUAAACAGAAUCAUCAAAAUGUUGAAGGGGUGUCAGUUAAAAAAAAAGAGAGGAGAAAACAGACUUAAAGUGUCUAUCUCCAAAUGGCCUAUAUUUCAGGAGUGUUUGCACAUUUUCUACUUUUUCUUUUUGCAUGUGGCACUAUCCUGGAUUGUGUAAUUCAUGAUAUAUAACUUCUUUUUUCCUCUUUCAUAUUACAUCAAAUAGUUAAACGGAGUUUUCUUCUCGUUAUACAUUUGAUUUUUUAUUGUUUUCCCUCUGUCGUUUUUGCUGAUAUUUUACCAGAACUGGCUUUGAAGAAGACAAGAAUUUCCAUGUUGUUUUGAACUCUGUUAUUGCUGGGCGAUAUCAUGUUACCGAGUAUCUCGGGUCAGCUGCCUUCAGCAAAGCUAUUCAGGCACAUGACUUGCACACCGGAAUGGAUGUAUGUGUGAAAAUCAUAAAGAACAAUAAAGAUUUUUUUGAUCAAAGCCUUGAUGAAAUCAAGCUUUUGAAAUAUGUCAACAAGCAUGAUCCGGCGGACAAGUAUCACAUUCUGCGCUUGUAUGAUUACUUCUACUAUCGGGUAAAAACUAUCAAACUCUUUCAUUUCUAUUUUGAGUCUUAUAUUUCAUUGAAUUUUUUUUUCUGAAAGUUCAUUAGUAGUGAUUUUGGAUUACAGCAUGGUUAAGUGAAACGUGCUAAAAUAAUGGUAGAUGUAAAGGAGAAUAGAACACCUUUUGUACUACACUAGAGUUGCUCUAGAGCUUGUUUAAUUUAGACAGUCCUCUUAAGCUCUUAGCCAGUGUUAUAAUGGCAUCACCUUGAGAACCUUGAUUAUAUCAUGGCAUUUCAUAUAAUGGAGUGCACAGUCAUCUCAUUAUCCUUGGGUCAUAUCGUUUUUAUUUUUCUUUGAUGUUGUCAUGGAACUCGAAGAUUUCAUGAUUUGCCUGUUGGACCUGAACUAGUCCAAUUUAAAUUUCUAUGUUUAAGUCACAGUUCUAUCAUCCAGAUCAAAACUUUGAAACAACAUCCUUCCUGACAUUUUUGACAUUUUUGAUUAAACUCAGGAAUUUGGACAGGUUUAGUGCAAAACCUUUUUUUUUAAGAAAGUUACACACACAUACACACACAUAUUUAUAUAGAUAUAGCUUGUUUAAUUUAGAGAGUCCUCUUAAGCUCUUAGCCAGUGUUAUAAUGGCAUCACCUUGAGAACCUUGAUUAUAUCAUGGCAUUUUCAUAUAAUGGAGUGCAUAGUGAUCUUAUUAUCCUUAGGUCAUAUUGUUUUUAUUUUUCUUUUUUGUUGUCAUGGAACUUGAAGAUUUCAUGAUUUGCCUGUUGUACUUGAAGUAGUCCAAUUUAAAUUUCUAUGUUUAUAUCACAGUUCUAUUAUCCAGAUCAAAAUUUUCAAAACAACAUCCUUCCUGAUAUUCUUGACAUUUUUUAUUAAACUCGGGAAACUGGAUAGUUUUAGUGCAAAGCCUUUUUUUUUUUCUAAAGAAGUUACACACACACACGCGCGCGCACACACACACACACACACACAUAUAUUCUAGCUUGCUUCUCUUGUUAAUGGCGAGCUUGCCCAUUCUGUUUGCAGACCUAAAUUUGUAGUCGAUAAAUCUGCUUUCAAAUUGAAAUUUCAGAGUCUACUGGGCAAACUAAUAUGCUUUAAUGUCAGAAAGGUUUGGUUUGAAGCUGGCCAAUUUGUAAUCUUUUUCUUCAAACUGUGUCCCAGUGACCAAACUUGUACAUUAGUAACUAGGUAAUUUCUUUAACUUUAGCUUGCAGUAAUUAGUGCAGUUCUAGUUACAUGUCAAGUACCUAGUCUUGUGUGACUUUUAAGUACCGUGCAAUUUAUGUGCCUUUUCAACUGCCCAGUCAUUUCUCUAGCAUUACUUGCGCAAAUAAAGCUUCUAUCAUGUCAUAUAUGAACAUGUUUAGUGAAGAAUAGGAGUUGGUUCCUUCUGGGACUGUUAAACUAUUCAAUUCGCAACUUUUCUUUGGAUACGAAUAGGUAUGGCUGCGCUGGUUGUCAAUACUGACCGGAAUAACCAGGUUGUAGCCUCUUUCAUGGAUUCAGAAGAAGUUUACAAACUUGUGUAUAUAUAUCUCUUGUGUAGCCAGUGGUGUGACAAAUUAGCUAGUAUAAAUGCCCUGGUAUGCUUCGAGUUACUUUUGUGUCCAAAACAAGAAUGCAAUUAUGCAACACAUCCUUAGCUGGAGAUGGGUGAUAUAGUACGCAGCAUCCUAGUUUGCCCUUGCUCAUCUCUUAAUCCUGUGAUAGAACUGUACAGAGAACCACGAAUUUUGGUGUGGUAAAUGUCUUUAUGCCGUAGCUUGACUUUGGUGUGUCAGUCAUCUUCCUUAUUAUUGUCUGUUAUCUAACAUAACUGGUAAUAUUAGAUGGCAAUUGGCAAGCACUGAUAGUUGCUUGAUGCUCUUUCAACCUAUUCGUCUUGUAACUUUUUGUAAUUUAGUCUUUCCUCGGCCGUUGCUUGUUUCUUGACUUCUUAGAGUGCUGAUGGUCUUCAAUGACUGUAGUUUUAAUCCAAAACCUGAAAGUGCACUAUUUGAUUAUGGUGCUUAGCAGACAGCAACAUGCACAAAUAAGCGAGCAACGUCGUUUGGUAGGAGAAAGGUCAUUUGGCGACAAUACUGGUGGGGAGAGAGAGAGAGAGAGAUAGAGAGGGCACUGUGGUACUGCUGUGUAGAUUAGGGUUUGAUUAAUGUUAGCUAGAGCCAUUAUAUAAAAUGAAUUGAUUGUUGUGAGACAAAUGGCAAUUUGAUUGAAGAUCAUUUUAUCAGAAAUUUCUAGGUAGGGCUUUAUCAAGUAUGUUGGGCAAGUCUAAAGAGCUUUUUUGGGAAACCAAUGCUAAAAAACCUAUCAGACAGGGCGUUAUUUCUGCCUGGACUGGAUACCAGCCCUAUAUAUAUUUAAUGGUGCCUAUAGACAUUGAUAGGACUCUAGCUGAUGUUUCAGUUAAUUAUCUUUUUAAGCCAUUGCCUUGUACAUUAGAUAACAUAGGAGAAAUUCUAAAUUUAUCUUCUAAGUUUGGAAUCUUAAAGCCUACAGAUAACAUAGGAAAACUUUCUAAGUAAUUGUAAGUUUGGCAUCUUAAUCAGAACGUGAAGAUUAAUAAUGUCACAUGCAACUUCUUAAGAAUUUUAGGCUGUGGAAUAUUUUCAUGCUGCCUUUUAGUUUUAUGCCAUUUCUCUAUGAUCCAUUGUUAAGCGAAAAGAUCUAGUUCGUUGGGUGUGAAAAAAAAAAAACAAGAGAAAUGAGAAAAAGAGGAAAAAUAAAGUAUACAAAUAUUUAUAUGGUUCAACCACUGGCUUAUGUUCACAGGCGAAGACGGAGCGUAGACUUUCAUAAAUAAUCCAAGCACAGUACAAAAGAUGACUCACAAAAACCCUGCCUUCAAAAUACACCCUUGCUCUUUCUCAUUUUCAGCCCCAAAUCAAUGGAAUAAAAGAUAUAUUUAUAUUGGUGCCUAAAAUCCAAUAAGACUGAAUAAUCUCAAUAAGAUUAGGCAUAUUCCUAGCUUAACUUAAUAGGUUGUGAGGAAUAGAAUAGGGUUGGGAAACCUUGUGGUUCAAGAAUUUGAGGCAUAUCGAGCUAUCUCCACCUUGUCUUGAAUUCUUCAUCUUUUGCCAAAACCCCAAUGGUUCCUCGAGUGCUACUGCACAGACAAAUUGUCCAUGGAAUAUUGAAUUUGGUCAUCAAAAGAGGCUUAAUGAGCAAAUCUGCUUGGUUCUUUAGAGAACCAAUCUUCUUCCUCUCCAGUUAACGCCUUGUGCAACCUCAUUGCAUUAGAACGACUUACAUCUAAACUUGUUGAAUAGCGAAACUGCUGGAGCAAUCACACUUCUUGAUCUCAAAUUUCAUCAACAUUUUAAACACCCACUUGAACAAUCAGACUCUGAUAUUAGUUUCUUAUGAAUUCGCAACUUGCUUUGAUACCAAAAUUGCUUUGAUACCAGUUUGUUACGAUAAAAGCGGAAAUGAUUUAGUUCAUCGGGUGCGAAUAUACAAAUGAGAAUCGAAAAGAAGAGAAGAAAAAUAAAGAAUACAUAUUUACGUGGUUCGAUUACUCAUCUAAGUCCAUGGGCGAAGAUGGAGCAGAGACUUUUAUUAUAAAGUCAAACACAGUACAAAAGAUGCCUCUCACAAAAAAUAAAAUAAAAUAGAGAACACUAUUUACGUGGUUCGACCACUGGUCUACGUUCAUGGGCGAAGAUGGAGCAAAGACUUUAAUUAUAACCCAAAUAAGUACAAAAGAUGCCUCAUAAAAAAACCCUAGCAUCCAAAAUGCACCUCUACUCCCUAUCAUCUGCCGCACCAAAUCAACGAAAUAAAGAAUAUAUUUGUAUUAGUGACUAUAAUUCAAUAAGACUAGGAAUACUCUUAAUAAGAUUAGGUAUAAUCCUAGCUUACAAGUUGAGAGAAAUAGAAUAGAGUUAGGAAUUGUUGCGGUUCAAGAAUACGAGACAUAUCUGACAUCCAUCAGUAGAAGCAAGAAUUGUCUGCUGAUAAUGCUUUCAUUUUUUUCCGCUGCUAUUACAGCUAUAGAGCUAUAUAUUUCUAUUUCUUUUUUACUUGGAACCAAUAUAAUUCUUUAUGUCCAUUAUAUUAGUUGACAAUUCUAUAUGUGGCAUUUGUUUCUAUUAGAAGGUUGUGUAUCUUCAUUCUUUUUGUCGAAUAACUUCUCUCCUCGGAUAAAUAUGCUAUGAUAUUAUAUUAUGGGCUUAGUUUACUAAAUGGGAAUAUCGAUAACAAUCCCUUUUUGGAAGAUGAUCUAUUAUUGUGUUAAUUGCACCAUUGGUUCCUAAGCUUUUGCUCGAAUUUUUGCUUUCCUGAUCGUUUAAUUUUUUCAAUUGAGUCCCCAACAUUUAUUACUUUAGUCAACUAAGUCCCUGCAGUCAAAAAGCCCAGUAAUUCCAAUAGAAACUGUAAUGUAGGACAGAAUAUAGGAUCCUACAAUUUAGAGGGCUCCAAAAUAUGAUUUAUAAUUUUUUUGAAAGCUUUUGAAUUUCUAAAAUUUUCUGAAUUUUUUGAAUAUUUUUCAACUUUUAAAAAAUUUUCAGAAUUAAAAAAAGAAAUUAUGAAAAUCAAUAAUUAAGAAAAAUAGGAAAAAAUUCAGAAAAAUGAAAAGGGAAGAAAAAAAAAAGAAAAAGUAAUCAAGACUCACUCCUGAACCGAACUCGUUUCGGGAUUGGACUUACUUUAGGGCGAGUGCAUACACGAAAGGAAAAAAAGACAUCAUUGCCAAAGCAUUUGUCUUCAUUAUAGAUUUAUAAAUUCAUAUUCAUCAUCAUACAACGAAGUCGUAUGCCUUAUUAAUACUAUCCUUAACCUUACUUAUACAUAACCUACUUAGGAUUUUAACUUAUCCUAAAUAACUAAAAUUUUUUUUUAUCUAGAGAUUAACUGAAUAAUAAAAAUCUAAAAGUAAAUACUAACUAAAAGAUAAGAUCAACUAUUGUAAUCUGAUUUUAAAAAAACAUUGAAUUCAAGUGAUUUAAAUAGAUCAACCAAAUUGGGUCAGGCCAGUUUUGCAUCAUUCGCUUCUGUAGCACAGGGUUUCAUCCUCAAGACUAGCUGGAUUGUAAGGUGAUAAAAAACAACCAAGUGUGUGGAAUAAAGUAAUGCGGUCCAACACUUGCAUGUUGAACAACUUGUAUCAUCAAAGUCUCCAACUUGGUGUUGAUGUAGGAAUGACUAGUAAGUCGAUGACGCUUUAUAAAGAUUGAUAUUAUGGAGAAAAGUGGUUUUGGUGCAAUUUGAAGCUCAAGUAUGGAGGGCGGAUAUUGCUGGGGCAGUGAGGGUAAAUCGAUUUGUAGUCUUAUCUCUUCAACGCACUCAUCUACCUUGGCUGAAUAACUGCGGAUGCUCAAAUUCUAACUCCGUCACAUCUAGAACUUAUUUGCAAUCGGAUGGUGCGAAUGGACUGGAUCAGAAUUGUCAUCUCCUGACUUGUGCUAUGGGUGGCUUACUUUGUUGAGCAAUUAGGGUUUCCAGUUGAACUUUUAGUUGGAUCCAUCAAUACUCAUCUCUUAUCUUACUCAUCAUUAAAAAUCAUUUUCAACAAUUUUAGCAUCAUCUUCAAAAUCUUUCAACCUCCUUUUUUUCUUUGUCUGAAAAGUAUUUUGUUAAAAUCAAGAUGAAAUAUUUGCUUUUGUCUAUAUCACCAUCUCAAAUUACCUUAGUAUUUCCAUUUGAAUAUCGUUUUUUUUUCCUCCCAAAGUAUGACUUCUGAUCAUACAAUCAUUCAUCAAACUCGACUCUUGUCAUCUCACAUAUUUUUUUCACUGACUUUAUAUGAAUCCUUUUUCUUCUGCUAUACUUCCGGAAAACAUUUUUUAAGACAUUCUUUUGCAUCCAUGAUGUUUUUUUUAACUACUUUUUCUCUAUUUUUUUCUCCACACACUUUUCUUUCACCUUUUCUUUCACUCUACUUUUCUUUAUUUUACUUUUUCUCACUUUUUUUUUUUAUUUUCACCCUGUUUUCUUCCACAAGCCCCAAAUUUUUGAGGAAACGGAAUUGUCAAAUAGCCUAAGCUCUGAUGCCAAAUCUGAUAUAGGAUGGAAUGUAGUACCCUGCACUUUGGAGGACUUCUAAAUAUGAUUUACAUUAUUUUUGAAAGCUUUGGCAUUUCUAAAAAUUUUUGAAAUAUAUAUAUUUUUUUUAAAUUUCAGGAAUUAAAAAAGAAGAAAUUAUGAAAAGUAUGAAAUUAAAGAAACAAGAAUAAAAUUCAGAAAAAUAAAAAAAGAAAGGAAGAAAAGAAAAUUAGAAAGAAUAAUCAGGACUCACUCCUGAACUGUACUCUCUUCUGGACUGAACUCACUCUAGAGCGAUGCAUUCGUGAAAGAAAAUAAAAGACAUUAUUGCCAAAGCAUUUGUCUUCAUUAUAGAUCCAUAAAUUCGAGUUGAGCUAGUAUACUAUUAAUGGUAUAUAAAUAGUAUUUACUAUCUAAUUUUCUGCUAUUGGAUUAUUACUAUACCACCUACCACCACUAAAUCCUAGGCAUCCGAUGGCAAAAAAGUUGGUAGCAAACACUCUCAAUAGUAUAAAUAGCAUUUUAGCCCCACUAUGUAAAUUCAUAUCAUUAUCAUACAAAGAAGUCUUUUGCCUUAUUUAUACUAUCUAUCCCCUUAUACAUAACCAAGUUAGGAUUUAAUUUUAUCCUAAAUAAUGAACUAAACAAAACCUUAUCUUGAGAUUAACUGAAUAAUAACAAUCUGAAAUAAAUACUACCUAAAAGAUAAGAUCAACUACUCUAAUCUGAUUUUUUUUUUCAAAAUAAGCAAUAAAUUCAAUCGAUUUAAACUGAUUGACCAAAUCAGGUCGGCCCAGUUUUGCAUCAAUCUGCCACGUGGCAACCUCUGGCUUAUUAAACAGGCUUAUUGACAGCAUAGACUUUAAUUGAAACAAGUGACAAACUUUAGGGACUUGAUCGAAACAAUUAAAAAGUUUUGCAAUUAAAAUGAGAAAUUGGGUAAAGUUUGGGCAUCAACAUAGCAGCUCACCCUCUAUUAUGUACUGUAUCAAGUGUUCUAUCUCAAGUGAGAAAUCUGUUUAACUGUUCAACUAAUUUGUGUUUUAUUCUUUAGGAACACUUGCUGAUAGUUUGUGAGCUUCUCAAGGCAAACUUAUAUGAAUUUCACAAGUUCAAUAGAGAAUCUGGAGGGGAGGUUUACUUCACCAUGCCGAGGUUGCAGGUUGUUUAUUUAUUUUGUUUCUUUAGGUUGUUUAAAUUUCACCACCCCGUUGGCCCGCGUUUUGAACUUUUGUUGUUCAGGUUAUUUCACAUUUUUGCUAAUUUCCUCUACAGUCAAUAACUAUUCAGUGUCUGGAGGCACUUCAGUUUUUGCACGGCCUUGGUCUUAUUCAUUGUGAUUUGAAGCCUGAAAAUAUAUUGGUGAAAAGCUACAGCAGGUGUGAAGUCAAAGUCAUUGACCUUGGGAGUAGCUGCUUUGAGACCGACCAUUUAUGUUCGUAUGUACAGUCACGAUCGUACCGCGCACCUGAGGUUAUAUUGGGUCUUCCUUAUGAUAAAAAGAUUGAUAUUUGGUCACUCGGAUGCAUCCUUGCUGAACUUUGUACCGGAAAUGUAAGCUCUAUUUUCUGUUUGCUAUAAUGUUUGAGAAAUCAUUUACCGACAUAUACGCCCGUGGAAAUUUUAAAAUUUCUUCAAUGCCUUCAAAAACUUAAUUUCUUAUGUAUGUACCCUUGUUCUUUCAAAAAUAUCCCUGUUUUGGAAUCCACUUCCCCUCCAUAGAUUGGAUGAUUCCCACAUUUGAAGGAAACUGCACUUUCAAGGGUACAUAUAGAAGUUCAGAUUUUAUGGGACUAUAUAUGUAUAUAGUAAAUAGGUUACUUUGCAGGUGUAUACGUAUAUAUAUAUAUAUAUAUAUAUAUANAUAUACUUUUAUCUCAAGUCUAUUUUAUCUAAUAGCAUCAUAUAGGCCUCAAUACCAAACUAAGAUUUGUUUUGUAAUGAUAGGUUAACUUGCAAAGCAUCCUCACCCAAUGACAGAUGACAACUCUUAAUUUUUAGAGAAAGUAAAACAACAAAAAAUAACAAAAGAGGAUACAUUUAAAUUUUUACCUUUGUAGUCAAAUAAAUAUCUUAGAUAUACGCAAUAACUACAUGCAAUAUUCAUCCUUCACUUCUACAUCUUAUUUUUAUAAAACAUUUAUUUAAAUAAAUUAAAAAAUGAUGUCCCAUAAAAACUUGGAAUUUAGAAGACGAAUUUCCAAUGUUUAUAACUUGGUUAUUAAUGGGCCAUGUGUCUCAGCCUACGUACUUGAACAAUAGGCCCAAUGUAUUUUCUCGAAAAAAAAAAGGCGCAAUGUAAAUCAAUGAUCGGGGCCAUAAAAGGCCCAGGAAAUCUCAGAUUGGGCUCAUAAAAGGCCCACAAUGACCUUGAAGGAUCUCCCAACCUUAGCUUUUAUUAUCACAAUUUCACAAAUCUAACUUGUGGAGCAUUUAUCUUUGUUUAUUUUUUCUUUUUCUCUUAGUUUUAAUUAAUCUUUCUUUCAGAAAGCCCAGGCACACCUGUAACUCCAAAAUUUACUAUUUAUUUUUAUAAAAUGUAAAAUAUAAAAAUAAAUGUUAAAUAAGUUAGACUACUGGUAUUAGAUAUAAAUAUUAAUUUUAUAAUAUUAAGCAUUCACAUAUAAAUUAUACAUUAAAAAAUAAAAUAAGAUUGAUGCAGUUUAAGUUAAUUUUAUAUUUAACGAAAAUUAAUUGCAAGAAUCGCAAACAAUGAAUUCUCUUCUCAUUCACUAACUACUGGGGGAUUACGAUGCCUACUAAAAUUAUUUCACUAACUAAUGGGAGACUACUAUACCUACUAAAAAUUUUUGAUGUACUUAUUGCAUUAUUUAAAUUCUAAAAUUAAUUUUUAUAACUAAUUUUUAAAAUUAAAUUUUAAAAUAACUACCCGCAGCAUCGCACGGGUCCCAUAACUAGUGUUUUUGCUAAAUGGCUUCAGUUAAUACCACCGCUUGAUGCAUGCUAGGUCAAAAGUGUGAGCCUCAUUACAAUAGCCUAGCUCAAGGUUAAGUAUAUAUAUAACUGUACUUUAUGCAAAGAAAACUUUUGAAAGGUUUCUUUUUUCUUUUUUGCAAUUUUUCCUUAACUUAAUCACACUAUAUGUAAUCUUAUUAGAAACUCCCUUCAUCAUUUGAUAAACAAAUUAAAGAAUUUAAAAGGAGCUCCUUGUAGAUUCUAUUUCUUUUCUUUUUCCCCUUUUUAAUCCACAUAGUUUCCACCUACUCCAUUAGUUGGAUUGUGACCACCACCACCUACGAGGGAGAGAUAUAACUAAUAUUGUGUAGGACGAAUAGUAGGUUUCUGGAGCAAAAACAUUAUAUGAGCUUCAUCCCUAUGAUAAUGCAUGUGAAUAUGAUGAUGCAACACUUUGACCACGUGACUCGACCGUUUGGUUGGUGGUCACGUGCUCCGUUCGUUGCACCCACCCGUUGGUAAAUCCCUCCGGUCAAAACCCUACUCCUCCCUCACCCACGUAAAAACUAUUAAAUGCAUGCACCUGAUUCGUGCACCCAUUUACUUAGUACACCAUCAUAAUUAGUCGUAAUGCAACUACAUAUACGUUUUGGAACUAUAGUUUUUGGAACAACUUUGAUAUUUUU